GUGCAUCCAACUAUCACCUCUUGACCUCUUUUUUUUUUUGUGAAAUCACCUCUUGACCUCACUUCGUAUAUAAACCCCAGAGUAGAAACUGCCAGUUACAUUUUUUGUUAAAAUUUGCACACUCUUCAUGCUGGAAUUCUACGCUAAAUUGUGUGUGAUUUUUGGUGGUGGGAUUUGCAAAAAGCUGAGAUAACCAAGAUUUUUGGUGGUGGGAGUAUAGUACAUUUAUGUACUAGUAUAAAGAAACGACGAAUUGAUCCUUUGGGAUAAUCAAAUCUAUGUAAGUACUUAUGAAUAAUUCAAAUAUCCAAUUCGACUCCCGAGCUCAUCUACAUCAUGUAAACAGUAAUUCAAAUAAAAUAAUAGAAUUUUUUUAAAAAAAAUCCAAACUUUUUAUGGUGAAAGAUGCUUGAGUGCAUGAUGUCCGUGCCCAGUUUUAGCUCAUUCGGACAUCUGAGUAGCACUAAAAAAAUCAGCUCCGAACUUUGUCACAGACCUCAAAUCUAUCCUUUUUGUUGAGAGCUUGUCGGAUGUUCAAAUGCACUCUUCAUGCGCUGAAUUUUUGCACGGGCAUCACGAACCCACGCAUCUUUCACCACAAAAAAAUUGAUAUAUUUUUAUUUCUUUUACUAUUUUUGGCGAUUUUACUGUUCACUCAUUUGAGCCCGGGAGCCAAAACGCCCUGUCGUGAAUACUUGCACGUAUCACAUAUACUCAGGUUUUUUAUUUGAGCAUGAAACAUGUAUUAUAUUUUAUAUAAAAUAUGUUGUUUCUGACCAUGUAAUUUUAUUGUACAUGUUUUAUUAAUCAAAUUAAAGACCUAAAAAGCCGUGUUCAACUUAUAAAGUAAAUCGAAGGGAGUACGUGAUCUGUGCAAGUAUUCAUAAGUACUGCUUCCUACAGCUUACAAAGAUUUGAUUUAUCUUAAGACAUCACUUCGUGGUGACCACGAUGGAUUAUAAAGGAUUUCAGCUAGAAAUGAUCGGGUCAACUACUUGUAACUGCAAUCACUUUUCUUACUCCCUCGGUUCACAAAUAUAAGAUAUUUUAAUUUUAUUGUGAAUCAAAUCUACAUAUACACAUUUUAGUGUGUUUGUUCGUUUAUUUUUAUUUGUAUGCAAUUCAUAUUAAAAUAUUCAAAACAUCUUAUAUUUGUCAACGGAGGGAGUAAUAAUUUAGAGGGUCAUGUGUCACAUCUGAUGUUUCUGCAAACCCUGUUCAUAUGAAGUUUUAUUAACACCUGAUUGGCAUGCAUCGACAGUGACGUAUGUCUUUGUUCCUGGUAAAGUGUCCCUAUCAAAAUACUUAGCAUAUACUUAUAGCUAAAAAUAGUUACUUUGACUGUUUUACUAAUCCUAAGUCGUCUAUGAUUUAUUUAUGUCUAUAAGGCGAUUUCUGAAAAAUAUAAUAGCUUUUGAACUGAAAACACGACAAGGACUAUGAAAUACUCUAACCAAGUGUAAUUCUUCAAUUGUCUAAAGGAAAAAAAAGUACUUCUCCACAACUAGCCAACUACAGAUUCCCUCCGCAAGUAGGCAGCUACCCCGAAUAAGUUACUACACUGCACAAUUACCAACAGCAGCAAGUUGCCUUAUAUUUACCGUACGCCGUGGAGUCAAGAAGCUCCAAGACAUUGUUGAACCAGCUCGUCUCGUUGCUAAGAGACACCGGCACAAACGUCGCUACCCCUCUGCUCUUCAAGAACGCCGGGUCAAGCGCCGUUGCGCCGCCCACCGCGAAGUUCGCGCCAUGCCGGAAGUCAUCCGCGGUCUCGCCGGCGAGGUAGGGGGUUGGUUGUGGCAACCCCAGCGACUCCACUGCGUCCACAGAAAUUGGGAAGAUAGUUGGUCACGAAUGUAUAUAGGUCAACGCGUGUCUCCACCAGAAGAAGAAUGAUUCGUGGCUAAAUGGUUACCGAUGAAGUCGAUGAUGAGCCGGCCGUCGGACGCCCGGCCGCUGGGGUGGUGGAAGUAGGUCUCCCCGUACGGCGCGUGGGAGGAGGGCCCCCCGGCGGUGGCCGGGAGGAUGGCCGCGUUCCCGGUGUCGGUGAGCGAGUCGCCGAAGCUGAAGACGCGGCUGUAGCUGCUGGCCAGCUGGGCGUCCCUGCCGCCGGCGUACGGCGUGGCGGCUGCCUCUCCGGCGAUUAGGACGAGGAGAAGAGCCACCAGGAUGCGAGAUAAGUGUGCCAUGUCGACGGUUUCAGCAGCUCUAUGUCCUGUAACUAGGCUAGUAUUUUGUGGUAGUGUUGUGUCAUGAAGACUCAGGGUUGGAAUUUGCCAGUGGACCUUAGGCUCAAAGCCCAACUAAAAUUUUAAAAGUCGCUUGGCCUAUUCAUGUACACAUGUGAGUGGAGUAAGUGAGAGUAAUGUUUAGUCCCAUCAUGGAAGUUGAGUGAGACUUGCACCUCUUUAUAAGAUGAGCUCUUCUACCACUUGUAUGGGCAUGAGAAGAAGAGACCUACACGAGCGCUCCUCCUCCUCGCUCGCCUCGCCUCGCCACGUCUCGCCUCGACGCGACGCGACGCGGGUUGCGGGAUUGAGCCGAGACGAGGACAGAGCUAUGCACGUUGCAAGUCUUCUCCAUCCCUCCUUUCGGCGUGCACCGCAAGAAGGGACAGCAGGCCUCCGGAACAAGGCGCUCUUCUGAGUGUUCUUGAUGAUUCCCUUGUGGAUUCGUAUAUGUCAUCUGACAACGGCAAGGACAUGUGAGCUGCGCUCGAUGCCAAGUUUGGUGCCUCGGACGCCGGCAGCGAGUUGUAUGUCAUGGAGCAAUUCUAUGACUACAAGAUGACUGAUGAGCGUUCUGUUGUACGGCAGGCUCAUGAGAUACAUGUUGGAAAUAUGCCCUAGAGGCAAUAAUAAAUAGGUUAUUAUUAUAUUUCCUUGUUCAUGAUAAUCGUUUAUUAUCCAUGCUAGAAUUGCAUUGAUAGGAAACUCAGAUACAUGUGUGGAUACAUAGACAACACCAUGUCCCUAGUAAGCCUCUAGUUGACUAGCUCGUUGAUCAAUAGAUGGUUACGGUUUCCUGACCAUGGACAUUGGAUGUCGUUGAUAACGGGAUCACAUCAUUAGGAGAAUGAUGUGAUGGACAAGACCCAAUCCUAAGCCUAGCACAAGAUCGUGUAGUUCGUUUGCUCAGAGCUUUUCUAAUGUCAAGUAUCAUUUCCUUAGACCAUGAGAUUGUGCAACUCCCGGAUACCGUAGGAAUGCUUUGGGUGUACCAAACGUCACAACGUAACUGGAUGGCUAUAAAGGUGCACUACAGGUAUCUCCGAAAGUGUCUGUUGGGUUGGCACGAAUCGAGAUUGGGAUUUGUCACUCCGUGUAAACGAAGAGGUAUCUCUGGGCCCACUCGGUAGGACAUCAUCAUUAUGUGCACAAUGUGACCAAGGAGUUGAUCACGGGAUGAUGUGAGUUACGGAACGAGUAAAGAGACUUGCCGGUAACGAGAUUGAACAAGGUAUAGGGAUACCGACGAUCGAAUCUCGGGCAAGUAACAUACCGAUAGACAAAGGGAAUUGAAUACGGGAUUGAUUGAAUCCCCGACAUCGUGGUUCAUCCGAUGAGAUCAUCGUGGAACAUGUGGGAGCCAACAUGGGUAUCCAGAUCCCGCUGUUGGUUAUUGACCAGAGAACGUCUCGGUCAUGUCUGCAUGGUUCCCGAACCCGUAGGCUCUACACGCUUAAGGUUCGAUGACGCUAGGGUUAUAGGGAAAGCAUGUACGUGGUUACCGAAUGUUGUUCGGAGUCCCGGAUGAGAUCCCGGACGUCACGAGGAGUUCCGGAAUGGUCCGGAGGUAAAGAUUUAUAUAUGGGAAGUCCUGUUUUGGUCACCGGAAAAGUUUCGGGUGUUAUCGGUAAUGUACCGGGACCACCGGGAGGGUCUCGGGGGUCCACCAAGUGGGGCCACCAGCCCCAGAAGGCUGCGUGGGCCAAGUGUGGGAGGGGACCAGCCCCAGGUGGGCUGGUGCGCCCCCCCACCAAGGCCCAAGCGCAUGGGAGAGUGGGAGGGGGCAAACCCUAGGUCCAGAUGGGCCUUAAGGCCCACCCUAGUGGCGCCCCCCCUCUCCUCCCCUUGGCCGCCCCCCUUGGAUGGGAUCUAGGGCUGGCCGCCUCCUCUUGGGGUGGGAAACCCUAGAGGGGGCGCAGCCCCCUCCCCCCCUAUAUAUAGUUGAGGUUUGGGCUGCCCAAGACACAUGAGAACGUCUCUCUUUUGGCGCAGCCCUACCCCUCUCCCUCCUCCUCCUCUCCCGCGGUGCUUGGCGAAGCCCUGCGGGAUUGCCACGCUCCUCCAUCACCACCACGCCGUCGUGCUGCUGCUGGAUGGAGUCUUCCCCAACCUCUCCCUCUCUCCUUGCUGGAUCAAGGCGUGGGAGACGUCACCGGGCUGCACGUGUGUUGAACGCGGAGGCACCGUUCUUCGGUGCUUAGAUCGGAAUCAACCGCGAUCUGAAUCGCUACGAGUACGACUCCUUCAUCCGCGUUCUUGCAACGCUUCCGCAUCGCGAUCUACAAUGGUAUGUAGAUGCACUCCCCUUCCCCUCGUUGCUAGAUUACUCCAUAGAUUGAUCUUGGUGAUGCGUAGAAAAUUUUGAAUUUCUGCUACGUUCCCCAACAGUGGCAUCAUGAGCUAGGUCUAUGCGUAUUUCUAUGCACGAGUAGAACACAAAGAAGUUGUGGGCGUAGAUGUUGCCAAUUCUUCUUGCCGCUACUAGUCUUAUCUUGUUUCGGCGGCAUUGUGGGAUGAAGCGGCCCGGACCGACCUUACACGUACGCUUACGUGAGACAGGUUCCACCGACUGACAUGCACUAGUUGCAUAAGGUGGCUAGCGGGUGUCUGUCUCUCCCACUUUAGUCGGAACGGAUUCGAUGAAAAGGGUCCUUAUGAAGGGUAAAUAGAAAUUGGCAUAUCACGUUGUGGUUUUGCGUAGGUAAGAAACGUUCUUGCUAGAAACCCAUAGCAGCCACGUAUAACAUGCAACAACAAUUAGAGGACGUCUAACUUGUUUUUGCAGGGUAUGCUAUGUGAUGUGAUAUGGCCAAAAGGAUGUGAUGAAUGAUAUAUGUGAUGUAUGAGAUUGAUCAUGUUCUUGUAAUAGGAAUCACGACUUGCAUGUCGAUGAGUAUGACAACCGGCAGGAGCCAUAGGAGUUGUCUUUAUUUUUGUAUGACCUGCGUGUCAUUGAAUAACGCCAUGUAAAUUACUUUACUUUAUUGCUAAGCGCGUUAGCCAUAGAAGUAGAAGUAAUCGUUGGCGUGACAACUUCAUGAAGACACAAUGAUGGAGAUCAUGGUGUCAUGCCGGUGACAAAGACGAUCAUGGUGCCCCGAAGAUGGAGAUCAAAGGAGCAAAAUGAUAUUGGCCAUAUCAUGUCACUAUUUGAUUGCAUGUGAUGUUUAUCAUGUUAUGCAUCUUAUUUGCUUAGAACGACGGUAGCAUAAAUAAGAUGAUCCCUCACUAAAAUUUCAAGAGAAGUGUUCCCCCUAACUGUGCACCGUUGCGAAGGUUCGUUGUUUCGAAGCACCACGUGAUGAUCGGGUGUGAUAGAUUCUAACGUUCGAAUACAACGGUUGUUGACGAGCCUAGCAUGUACAGACAUGGCCUCGGAACACAUGCAAAACACUUAGGUUGACUUGACGAGCCUAGCAUGUACAGACAUGGCCUCGGAACACAAGAGACCGAAAGGUCGAACAUGAGUCGUAUAGCAGAUACGAUCAACAUGGAGAUGUUCACCGAUGAUGACUAGUCCGUCUCACGUGAUGAUCGGACACGGCCUAGUUUGACUCGGAUCAUGUAUCACUUAGAUGAAUAGAGGGAUGUCUAUCUGAGUGGGAGUUCAUUAAUCAGAUGAACUCAAUUAUCAUGAACAUAGUCAAAAGGUCUUUGCAAAUUAUGUCAUAUCUUGCGCUUUAGUUCUACUGUUUAAGAUAUGUUCCUAGAGAAAAAAAAUUAGUUGAAAGUUAAUAGUAGCAAUUAUGCGGACUGGGUCCGUAAACUGAGGAGUGUCCUCAUUGCUACACAGAAGGCUUAUGUCCUUAAUGCACCGCUCAGUGUGCUGAACCUCAGCGUCGUCUGUAGAUGUUACGAAACAUCUGACAUACACGUUUUGAUGACUACGUGAUAAUUCAGUGUGUAAUGCUAACGGUUUAGAAUUGUGGCACCAGAGACGUUUUUGAAACGUCGCAGAACAUAUGAGAUGUUCCGAAGACUGAAAUUGGGAUUUCAGACUAGUGCCCACGUCAAGAGGUAUGAGACCUCUGACAAGUUUCUUAAACCUGCAAACUAAGGGAGAAAAGCUCAAUCGUUGAGCAUGUGCUCAGAUUGUCUGAGUACUACAAUCGCUUGAAUCGAGUGGGAGUUAAUCUCCCAGAUGAGAUAGUGAUGGUUCUCCAUAGUCACUACCACCAAGCUAGUAGAGCUUCGUGAUGAACUAUAACAUAUCAGGGAUAGUUAUGAUGAUCCUUGAGCUAUUCGCGAUGUUUGACACCGCGAAAGUAGAAAUCAAGAAGAAGCAUCAAUUGUUGAUGGUUAGUAAAACCACUAGUUUCUAGAAGGACAAGGGCAAAAGGGAUACUUCAUGAAACAGCAAAUCGUUUGCUGCUCUAGUGAAGAAUCCCAAGGUUGAACCCAAACCCGAGACUAAAUGCUUCUGUAAUGAGGGGAACGGUCACUGAAGCAGUACUACCCUAGAUACUUGGUAGAUGAGAAGGUGGGCAAGGUCGACAGAAGUAUAUUGGAUAUACAUUAUAUGAAUGUGUACUUUACUAGUACUCCUAGCAGCACUAGGGUAUUAGAUACCGGUUCGGUUGCUAAGUGUUAGUAACUCGAAAUAAAAGCUGCGGAAUAAACGGAGACUAGCUAAAAGGUGAGAUGACGAUAUGUGUUGGAAGUGUUUCCAAGGUUGAUGUGAUCAAGCAUCGCAUGCUCCCUCUACCAUCGAGAUUUGGUGUUUGCGUUGAGCAUGAUUGGAUUAUGUUUAUCGCAAUACGGUUAUUCAUUUAAGGAGAAUAAUGGUUACUCUGUUUAUUUGAAUAAUACCUUCAAUGGUCUUGCACCUAAAAUGAAUCUCGAUCGUAGUGAUACACAUGUUCAUGCCAAAAGAUAUAAGAUAGUAAUGAUAGUUCCACAUACUUGUGGCACUGCCAUUUGAGUCAUAUUAGUAUAGAACGCAUGAAGAAGCUCCAUGUAUAUGGAUCUUUGGACUCAGUCGUUUUUGAAAAGAUUGAGACAUGCGAACCAUGUCUAUUGGUAUAUAUGCAUGAAGAAAAUCCAUGCAGAUGGAUCGUUUGGACUCACUUGAUUUUGAAUCACUUGAGACAUGCAAAUCAUACCACAUGGGCAAGAUGACUGAAAGGCCUCGUUUUCAGUAAGAUGGAACAAGAGAGCAACUUAUUGGAAGUAAUACAUUUUGAUGUAUGCAGUCCAAUGAGUGCUGAGGCAUGCAGUGGAUAUCGUUAUGUUCUUACUUCACAAAUGGUUUGAGUAGAUGCUGAGUGUAUUUACUUGAUGAAACACAAGUCUGAAUUAUUGAAAGGUUCAAGUAAUUUCAGAGUGAAGUUGAAGAUCGUCGUAACAAGAGGAUAAAAUAUCUGUGAUAUGCUCAUAGAGAUGAGUAUCUGAGUUACGAGUUUUGGCACACAAUUAAGACAUUGUGGAAAGUAUUUCACAAUUAAUACCGCCUGGAACACCAUAGUGUGAUGGUGUGUCCGAACAUCAUAACUACACCCUAUUGGAUAUGGUGCAUACCAUGAUGUCUCUUAUCAAAUUACCACUAUCGUUUAUGGGUUAGGCAUUAGAGACAACCGCAUUCACUUUAAAAGGGGCACCACGCAAUUCCGUUGAGACGACACCGUUUAGAGAAACCUAAGUUGUCGUUUCUUAAAAGUUUGGGGCUGCGAUGCUUAUGUGAAAAGUUUCAGGCUGAUAAGCUCGAACCCAAAGCGGAUAAAUGCAUCUUCAUAGAAUACCUAAAACAGUUGGGUAUACCUCCUAUUUCAGAUCUGGAAGCAAAAGUAAUUGCUUCUAGAGACAGGUCCUUUCUCGAGGAAAAGUUUCUCACGAAAGAAUUGAGUGGGAGGAUGGUGGAGACUUGAUAAGGUCAUUGAACCGUCACUUCAACUAGUGUGUAGCAGGGCACAGGAAGUUGUUCCUGUGGCACCUACACCAAUUGAAGUGAAGCUUAUGAUAGUGAUCAUGAAACUUCGGAUCAAGUCACCACCAAACCUCGUAGGACGACGAGGAUGCGUGCUACUUCAGAGUGGUACGUGAUCCUGUCUGAGAUAUCAUGUUGUUGGACAAUACUGAACCUACGAGCUGUGGAGAAGUGAUGGUGGGCCCAUAUUCCGACAAAUGGUUAGAAGCCAUGAAAUCCGAGAUAAAUAGAUCUUUGAGAAGAAGACGGACGUGGACGGUAAUGUUACCGUCUAUGAAGCUCGACUUGUGGCAAAGAGUAUUUCCACAAGUUCAAGGAGUUGACUACGAUGAGAUUUUCUCAUCCGUAGCGAUGCUUAAAGUCCGUCGGAAUCAUGUUAGCAUUAGCUGCAUUUAUGAAAUCUGGCAGAUGGAUGUCAAAACAAGUUUCCUUACCAGUUUUUGUAAGGAAAGGUUGUAUGUGAUACAAUCAGAAAGGUUUUGUCGAUCCUAAGGAUGCUAAAAGGUAUGCUAGCUCCAGCGAUCCUUCCAUGGACUAGAGCAAGCAUCUCGGAGUCAGAAUAUACGCUUUGAUGGAGUGAUCAAUGUUUUUGGGUUUAUACAAAGUUUGUUAGAAACUUGUAUUUACAAUAAAGUGAGUGGGAGCGCUACAACAUUUCUGAUAAGUAUAUGUGAAUGACAUAUUGUUGAUCCGAAAUGAUGUAAAAUUUCUGGAAAGCAUAAAGGGUUGUUUGAAAGGACUUUUUUUCAAAGGAAGACCUGGAUAAAGCUGCUUACAUAUUGGGCAUCAAGAUCUAUAGAGAUAGAUCAAAACGCCCGAUGAUACUUUCAAAGAACGCACACCUUGACAUGAUUUUGAUCAGCAAAGAAGGAGUUCUUGGCUGUGUUACAAGGUGUGAGUAUUGAGUAAGACUCAAGACCUGACCACAACAGAAGAGAGAGAAAGGACGAAGGUCGUCCCCUAUGCUUUAGACAUAGGCUCUAUAGUAUGCUAUGCUGUGUACCGCACAUGUAGUGUGCCUUGCCAUGAGUUGGUCAAGGGGUACAAUAGUGAUCCGGGAAUGGAUCACAUGACAGCGAUCGAACUUAUCCUUAGUAUCUAGUGGACUAAGGAAUUUUCUCGAUUAUGGAGGUGAAAAGGAGUUCGUCGUAAAGGGUUACGUCGAUGCGAACUUUGACACUAAUCCGGAUGGCUCUGAGUAGUAAACCGGAUUCGUAUAGUAGAGCAGUUAUUUGAAAUGGCUCCAAGUAGCGCGUGGUAGCAUCCACAAGAUGACAUAAAUAUUCGUAAAGCACACACGGAUCUGAAAGGUUCAGACCCGUUGACUAAUAACCUCUCUCACAAGCAUAACAUGAUCAAACCAGAACUCAUUGAGUGUUAAUCACAUAAUGAUGUGAACUAGAUUGUUGACUCUAGUAAACUCUUUGGAUGUUUGUCACAUGGUGAUGUGACCUAUGAGCGUUAAUCACAUGGUGAUGUGGACUAGAUUAUUGACUCUAGUGCAAGUGGGAGACUGUUGGAAAUAUGCCCUAGAGGCAAUAAUAAAUAGGUUAUUAUUAUAUUUCCUUGUUCAUGAUAAUCGUUUAUUAUCCAUGCUAGAAUUGUAUUGAUAGGAAACUCAGAUACAUGUGUGGAUACAUAGACAACACCAUGUCCCUAGUAAGCCUCUAGUUGACUAGCUCGUUGAUCAAUAGAUGGUUACGGUUUCCUGACCAUGGACAUUGGAUGUCGUUGAUAACGGGAUCACAUCAUUAGGAGAAUGAUGUGAUGGACAAGACCCAAUCCUAAGCCUAGCACAAGAUCGUGUAGUUCGUUUGCUCAGAGCUUUUCUAAUGUCAAGUAUCAUUUCCUUAGACCAUGAGAUUGUGCAACUCCCGGAUACCGUAGGAAUGCUUUGGGUGUACCAAACGUCACAACGUAACUGGGUGGCUAUAAAGGUGCACUACAGGUAUCUCCGAAAGUGUUUGUUGGGUUGGCACGAAUCGAGACUGGGAUUUGUCACUCCGUGUAAACGGAGAGGUAUCUCUGGGCCCACUCGGUAGGACAUCAUCAUUAUGUGCACAAUGUGACCAAGGAGUUGAUCACGGGAUGAUGUGAGUUACGGAACGAGUAAAGAGACUUGCCGGUAACGAGAUUGAACAAGGUAUAGGGAUACCGACGACCGAAUCUCAGGCAAGUAACAUACCGAUAGACAAAGGGAAUUGAAUACGGGAUUGAUUGAAUCCCCGACAUCGUGGUUCAUCCGAUGAGAUCAUCGUGGAACAUGUGGGAGCCAACAUGGGUAUCCAGAUCCCGCUGUUGGUUAUUGACCAGAGAACGUCUCGGUCAUGUCUGCAUGGUUCCCGAACCCGUAGGGUCUACACGCUUAAGGUUCGAUGACGCUAGGGUUAUAGGGAAAGCAUGUACGUGGUUACCGAAUGUUGUUCGGAGUCCCGGAUGAGAUCUCGGACGUCACGAGGAGUUCCAGAAUGGUCCGGAGGUAAAGAUUUAUAUAUGGGAAGUCCUGUUUUGGUCACCGGAAAAGUUUCGGGUGUUAUCGGUAAUGUACCGGGACCACCGGGAGGGUCCGGGGGUCCACCAAGUGGGGCCACCAGCCCCAGAAGGCUGCGUGGGCCAAGUGUGGGAGGGGACCAGCCCCAGGUGGGCUGGUGCGCCCCCCCCCACCAAGGCCCAAGCGCAUGGGAGAGUGGGAGGGGGCAAACCCUAGGUCCAGAUGGGCCUUAAGGCCCACCCUAGUGGCGCCCCCCCUCUCCUCCCCUUGGCCGCCCCCUUGGAUGGGAUCUAGGGCUGGCCGCCUCCUCUUGGGGUGGGAAACCCUAGAGGGGGCGCAUCCCCCUCCCCCCCUAUAUAUAGUUGAGGUUUGGGCUGCCCAAGACACAUGAGAACGUCUCUCUUUCGGCGCAGCCCUACCCCUCUCCCUCCUCCUCCUCUCCCGUGGUGCUUGGCGAAGCCCUGCGAGAUUGCCACGCUCCUCCAUCACCACCACGCCGUCGUGCUGCUACUGGAUGGAGUCUUCCCCAACCUCUCCCUCUCUCCUUGCUGGAUCAAGGCGUGGGAGACGUCACCGGGCUGCACGUGUGUUGAACGCGGAGGCACUGUUCUUCGGUGCUUAGAUCGGAAUCAACCGCGAUCUGAAUCGCUACGAGUAUGACUCCUUCAUCCGCAUUCUUGCAACGCUUCCGCAUCGCGAUCUAUAAUGGUAUGUAGAUGCACUCCCCUUCCCCUCGUUGCUAGAUUACUCCAUAGAUUGAUCUUGGUGAUGCGUAGAAAAUUUUGAAUUUCUGCUACGUUCCCCAACAAUACAGUCACUCGCCAAGGAACUUGAAUACUUUAAGUGUGUGUUGCCAGACAAAUUUGUUGCCGGGGGCAUCAUUGCCAAGCUUCCACCUUCGUGGAACAAUUUUGCUACUUCCCUGAAACACAAGAGACAGGAGUUUUCCGUUGCGGAUCUCAUUGGUACUCUUGAUGUUGAAGAGAAGGCGAGAGCAAAGGACACACGUGCUCGAGUUGCUGAGGGAGCUUCUAGUGCCUGCAUGAAACAGAAGAAGAACUUCCAGCCCAACAAGUUCAAAAACAACAAGAAUAAAACUCAGGGCAAAGGCAAGUUUGAUACAAAGAACAAGCCGUCAUAUUCUACCAACUUCAAGAAGAAUUCUCACGAGAAGGGGAAGGGACUUUGCCAUGUCUGCGGUGAUCCUAAUCACUGGGCUCCGAAGUGUCCUAACCGCUUUGAGGAGCGCGAACAUGAGAAGAGCGGCAAGUCCGCUAAUGUUGUCAUCGGUGAUACUGAUAUGCAGGAAUCCGGGUACGGUAUUCUUCCUACCAUCCUUUCAGUAUUUCAAUCUCCUGAUUGGUUAAUUGACACCGGUGCCAAUGUACAUGUUUGUGCUGACGCCUCUAUGUUUUCUUCUUACCUGGUCACAGGGACUUCUCCCGUGCUGAUGGGGAACGGGUCACAUGCCAUCGUUCGAGGUGUCGGUACGGUCGAUCUGAAGUUUACUUUGGGGAAGACCGUGCGUCUGAAGAACGUUCAUCAUGUGACGUCCAUCAAUAAAAAUCUCGUUAGCGGUUCCCGUUUAUGUCGAGAUGGUUUUAAGUUGGUUUUCGAGUCCAAUAAAGUUGUAAUUUCUAAGUAUGAACAAUUUGUUGGAAAAGGCUAUGAGAGCGGAGGCUUGUUCCACCUGUCUUUGUCAGAUAUUUGUACUAAAGUUAUUAAUAAUGUUUGCCACAAUAAUGAGUCUGAUAUUUGGCAUUCACGACUUUUUCAUAUUAACUUUGGUUGCAUGACGCGGCUAGCCAAUAUGAAUUUAAUUUCGAAAAUCUCUACUGUCAAAGGCUCCAAGUGCCAAGUAUGUGUGCAAGCUAAGCAACCUCGCAAGUCCCAUAAGACUGCAGAGGCAAGAGACUUGGCGCCACUAGAGCUUAUACAUUCUGAUCUUUGUGAGAUGAAUGGCGUGUUGACAAAAGGUGGAAAGAGAUACUUCAUGACGUUGAUUGAUGACUCCACUAGAUAUUGUUAUGUGUAUCUUCUGAAAUCAAAAGAUGAGGCUUUAACUUUCUUCAAAAAACUAUAAAGCUGAAGCAGAGAACCAACUUGAUCAAAAAAUUAAACGGCUUAGGUCCGAUCGUGGUGGAGAGUACUUUUCCAAUGAAUUUGAUUUGUUCUGUGCGGAACAUGGUAUAAUCCAUGAGAGGAUGCCUCCUACCCACCUCAGUCAAAUGAGGUAGCCGGAAGAAAGAACCGAACUGUAACUGAUAUGGUUAACACCAUGUUAGACACAUCGGAUCUCUUCAGGAAUGGUGGGGAGGAGGCGCUAAUGACUGCGUGUCAUGUCCUAAACCGAGUUCCCACAAAGCAUAAGACCAUGACUCCAUUUGAGGAAUGGGAAAGGGUUGAAACUCUCUUACCUACGUACUUGGGGUUGUUUGGCGAAAGUCAAUAUACCAAUUCCCAAGAAGCGCAAGCUUGGACCAAAAACCGUGGAUUGUGUUCUUCUGGGCUAUGCUUUUCAUAGCAUUGGCUAUAGAUUUUUGAUAAUAAAAUAUGAGGUAUUCGACAUGCAUGUUGGUACGAUUAUGGAGUCGAAUGAUGCAUCUUUCUCUGUGGACAUAUUUCCUAUGAAGGAUAUGUCGAGUUCAUCAAAUCAGGAGAUACCUACUCCAUCUAGUGAGGAAUUCGCUGUAAUUCCUGAACCCACCAUUGUGAUGGAACACGUUGAGAAUCCUAUUGAGGGUGACAAUUGAACUCCUGUGAGGAGUAAGAGACAGAGGACUGCAAAGUCCUUUGGUGAUGAUUUCAUUGUGUACCUUGUGGAUGACACAUCCAUGACUAUUUCAGAAGCAUAUGCAUCUCCUGAUGCUACUGGAAGGAAGCUGUUCGUAGCGAGAUGGAUUCCAUCUUAGCUAACGGAACCUGGGAAAUCACUGACCGUCCUUAUGGGUGCAAACCUGUAGGAUGUAAGUGGGUCUUCAAGAAGUAGCUUAGACCUGAUGGUAAGAUUAAAAAGUACAAGGCACGGCUUGUGGCUAAGGGUUAUACCCAGAAAGAAGGUGAAGACUUCUUUGAUACUUACUCACCCGUGGCUAGACUGACCACAAUUCGGGUGCUACUAUCACUGGCUGCCUCACAUGGUCUUCUCGUUCAUCAAAUGGAUGUUAAGACGGCUUUCCUCAAUGGAGAGUUGAAGGAGGAAAUUUACAUGGAUUAGCCAGAUGGUUUUGUAAUACCUGGUCGGCAAGGAAAGGUGUGCAAGUUAUUAAAGUCUUUAAAUGGCCUUAAACAAGCUCCUAAGGAGUGGCAUGAGAAGUUCGAAAGAACAUUAACUGCUGCCGGCUUUGUAGUAAACGAUGGUGACAAGUGUGUGUACUAUCGCCAUGGUGGGGGCGAAGGAGUUAUUCUUUGUCUGUAUGUCGACAACAUACUGAUCUUUGGAACCAAACUUGAUUUAAUUAAGGAGGUUAAGGAUUUCUUAUCUCGUUGCUUUGAGAUGAAGGAUCUAGGAGUAGCUGAUGUUAUCUUAAACAUCAAGCUGUUGAGAGAUGAGAAUGGUGGAUCACACUGCUUCAGUCUCAGUAUGUUGAAAAGAUCUUGAGUCAUUUUGGGUAUAGCGACUGCAUGCCUUCUCCAACUCCAUAUGAUGCUAGUGUGUUGCUUCGAAAGAAUAACGGAUUGCUAGAGAUCAACCGAGGUAUUCUCAGAUUAUUGGCUCGCUUAUGUAUUUUGCGAGUGCCACGAGGCCUGACAUCUCUUUUGCUGUGAGCAAGCUGAGUCGGUUUGUGUCAAAACCGGGAGAUGAUCAUUGGCAUCCGCUUGAGAGAGUUAUGCGCUACUUGAAAGGCACUGCGAGCUAUGGGAUUCACUACACCGGGUAUCCAAGGGUACUGGAGGGUUAUAGUGACUCAAACUGGAUAUCUGAUGCCGAUGAGAUUAAGGCCACAAGUGGUUAUGUUUUUACACUUGGUGGUGGCACUGUUUCCUGGAAGUCUUGCAAGCAGACCAUCUUAACGAGGUCAACUAUGGAAGUAGAACUCACAGCAUUAGACACUGCCACUGUUGAAGCAGAGUGGCUUCGUGAGCUCUUGAUGGACUUACCUAUGGUUGAAAAACCAAUACCCCCCUAUCCUGAUGAACUGUGAUAAUCAAACUAUGAUCGUCAGGAUAAACAGUUCUAAGGACAAUAUGGAGUCCUCAAGGCAUGUGAAGAGAAGACUAAAAUCUGUCAGAAAAUUGAGGAACUCCGGAUUUAUUACGUUGGAUUAUAUCCAAACGUCGAAAAACUUGGCAGAUCCCUUCACAAAGGGUCUAUCACAUAAUGUGAUAGAUAAUGCAUCGAUGGAGAUGGGUUUGAGACCCACCGCAGGAGUUGUCCAUAGUGGUAACCCACUCUAUGUGAUCGGAGAUCCCGUGAAGUAGAAGUGGGAGACAAGCUGUUGGUCAGCUGAGAGGAGAAUAUCCCUAUUUUAAUUAUCCCACUCCGUGAAGAUGCAAUAUUCUCUGCAUGGCAGGUUGAUAUUUAUCUUAAUGUGUUCCAAGUGGCUUAUUUGAGUAAGCAGAGAUGUUGUCCUGCAGAGCAUCUCCUGAGGAACACACCUAUAUGAAUUUGACUGUUAACGUCACAGUCUGUGAGAAUUGGGUGUUCUCUAAUAAAUUCAUGAAAGGCCCUGGAGUAUGACGUAUAUGCUCCACCCGCGGGGAUGCCUUGCGGCAGUCCAGUAUCAGUCAAGAAUUUGUGUGAAACUAGUCUCGCAGAAAACUUGUAGUUCAAGGCAUAGUCCACUAUUCAAGUUGUGAUCUAGUGUAGCAUAAAACUCUAAGUGGAAGUUCAACUUCACAGUCUCCACUAAGCACCAGUAUAUAAACAAUGUUUUGGAACUAAAUGAUGAGAUGUGCCAAUGAGACUUUGUGGGGGAUUGUUGGAAUUUGCUAGUGGACCUUUGGCCCAAAGCCCAACUAAAAUUUUGAAAGUCUUUUGGCCCAUUCAUGCACACAUGUGAGUGGAGUGAGUGAGACUAAAGUUUAGUCCCACCACGGAAGUUGAGUGAGACUUGCACCUCUUUAUAAGGUGAGCUCUUCUACCACUUGUAUGAGCAUGAGAAGAGGAGACCUACACGCGCGCUCCUCCUCCUCGCUCGCCUUGCCACGCCUCGUCAUGACACGCCGCGGGUUGCGGGAUUGAGCCGAGGACAGAGUAUGCACGCUGUCUAUAUUUUUGCUACUCGAGAAAAUUAAUGAGUCAUUAAUUAAUAAUUAACGGACGCGUUAAUUACUGAACCGUUUCCGAUUCUUUUGGAUCGCGAAUCGGACGUGGGGUUUACUCCCACGACCUACCCAGUCCGCACAAUAUAGUCAGGCAGACGUCUACCCUAGCCGCCGCCGUAUCGUAUGGUUUCGCACCACCGUUCCAGAUCAUUGCGCCGCCAAGCAAGCCUUCUCCAUCCCUCCUUUCGGCGUACACCGCAAGAAGGGACAGCAGGCCUCCGGAACCCCGCCUCUCGUGAUCCUGUACUGGAGAGGGGCGAUCAGGUUUUUGGGGAGCGUGCUCGCGCGACUGCUAGCAGCGACGACUUCGCCAACGACGACUUCUUCCCUGAUCUCGGCAACCUCAUCCUCGACGACAUGGCCGACAACGUCAACGCCGGCGGUGCUACUCCCGCUGCACCGUAUGUGAUUCUAUCCUUCUUGUUCGAGAUCGUGGUAGAAUUCAUGUCUCUAGUAUGUGCCCUAGAUGUGAUCUAUUCAUCUACUAUGCUAGUUCGCAUGAUUAGUUUAAUCCCUACUAUUGGUGUCAUGUAUUAUCUUUUGUUUAUUCGGAUUAAAUCUCGUAGUAAUUUGCUCAUAUUUUCAACACUCAGAAGCUGGUGGCCCUUAUUUUGUUGGCCGAGACUAACAACUUUUUUAGCACAAUACAAUGACAGAUUUGUCGAAAGUGCUCUUUUGCAUACACGCAUACUAUACUCAGCCUUAUAAACACCCCGCAUUGUAUACCCUAUCCGUAUUGGCUUUUCCGAAAUACUGUCAGCAACAUCUUGAGAUUGAUGAAAUCAUCACAAAUGCCUAGUAAUCGACGUGGAAUAAAUACAGAAAAAGGCUUGCACCGAUGGUAAGUUUAGAACUUGAACCCACACAAAGAAACUAACUAUCCUCUUGGAGCUCAUGGUUGUAUUGUACUUGAGCAUUCAUUACCGGAUGUUCGCGUGCUUUUUUUUCAAAAAGAGGAAAUAUCCCUUGGCCUAUACAUCGAGUGAUGCACACAGCCUUUUAUUUAUCAUUUCAAAGUUUAUCAUUCAAUCACAAUGAAGUUCAAUAAAAGACGGUCACACAUGGAUGCUCCAAGGGCAAAUUAAGAAAGAAUGCACAGGAAUGAGCCUCAUGCAUUACAAAGCCGGAGAGACCAUCCACCAUCGGUUGCAUCCAAAGACCGUGGGUGCACGAGCCCCCUCCUUGCAUAGUAAUGAGCACGUAUGAAUGCAACUGAUGGUCUUGAUAACAUGCAAAUUCUUUGGAUCUUUCGUUCUGUUAGAAAUACAGUCAUUACAAGUGCUCCAAAUGGCCCAAAGUAAAGCACAAAUUACCACACGGAUAUGAGACUUCAACUUGGGAUGCACCCCACUAACCAAUUUUCAAAAUAUAUUGGUACUACUCGUGGGCGAAGGUAGAUUAAAAGCUAUAUGGACAGAUUGCCAUAGUAGCUUGGCAAGUUGGCAUUGAAGGAAUAGAUGCUGAAUCAACUCCUCAUCACCAAAAAAGCAAGACUUGGUGUAUCCUUGUAAAUAUCUUUUUUUUGAUUAUUUUUGUCAGGACGACCUUUCGAUCUAAAUACCACAUGAUUUCCGUUUUCAACGGGAAUUUCAUUUUCCAAAUAUAUUUGCACUGAAAAGGUUGCCCAUCAUUGAUGAGGUCCGUAUACAUGGAUUUGGUUGUGAAGACACCAAAAGUAGUCAACUUAAAACGGAGUGUGUCUAAUUCAUGUGAAAUGUUGACCAUCAUCAUCUUUUCAAUAAGGUUUGACCAGUCCGUCCAAUUGUCUCCAAUCGAUGGUCUUCUAAAGGCAACAUUCAAUGAUUUUUGACCCCAUGAGGCCUUUCCAGAAAGAUGAGUCCGUUGGUUUUUCCUGAAUCGCACGCCCAAGCCAGCAUCCUACUUGGGGUGGCAUACCCUCUCCCAUGGCACAAUGUAUUUUGCCCCAACAUCAUAUGCAGGCACUUGAUCUCGGUGGAGACUUGGUCAUGGUGAACAUGCAAUGGUCGUCGUCCUACUCUCUUCUACAACCACUUGUUGUCCGAGGCCCGUGCUACGAGCUAGGCCUUCUCCCUCGUGGACCUCUACCAGGGGGGCCAAUUGGUGGAUGGGCCAAGGCUGGUGGCCCCUUUCUCCAGGUCAGAGAUCAAGGUAUCCUUCGCUGGUUUUGACCGGGCUAGUUCCUCGGGCCUAAACGGCAUGGGCAUGAGUUUCUACCAUGCUGCAUGGUCUGACGUCUCUGAGGACAGGGAUCAUAUCUUCCUCGCCUUCUUCAACAGUGUUGCUAGCCCUGGGUGCUUAAACUGUGAGCACAUACUCUUACUGCCCAAGGCUAGUGGUGUCCUCGUUUCUGGAGCCUACUAGUCGGUCUCUCCACAAAAGUGUGACAUCAAAGCUCUAUGCAAGUUCCUGACUAGCCGGCUCAAAGGGCAGAUUUUGACAGUGUUCGACCAGGAUUAGUUUGGUUUCAUCGAUGGGCGAAGCAUAUCCGAGAACUUCGUGUACGCCACUGAGGUCGUUUAGUGUUGAUACCAUCGUAGAGCCCCUACUACCGUCCUGAAGAUUAACUUCGCCAAGGCCUUUGGCUCAAUCAACUGAGGUAUCCUUCUUGCGGACACGUCGAUCAUGGGGUUUCCCUCUUGGUGGUGUUGGCUGGAUGAACAAAAUCUUUUAAAACACGACGUCCACGAGGUUGCGCCUGGGUCCUCAUGAAUUUGGUUGAAAAUUGGUGACUGCCCGCUCUCAGGAGAUGCCUCCCUCUAGCUUGGCCUUCACUGGAGCUCUCUCUACUACCUUUUUCCACUCUACCACAUGAUCAUGCGGUGGUAAUCAGCGACGGGUGUUGUACCUCAUUUUGUCGGGACUCGUGGCCCCCCGCGGUGUUCCCUGUGUGGCUCCCCCAGUUUUCUUCUCCCAUGAGAACGGAAAGAAGCUCUCAAUUGCUAAAGAUCUCGAUCGGGGCCUAUAUGGCACCCUCGUCCCUUGACUACCAUAUCUAGAGCUCAUGUCUGUAUUAUAUUUGGUUAGUCUUCUACGGAUGUUCACGUGCUUGUAGAUCGGUUCAAGCUUCUAAUCUUAGUUUUAAUUAGAUUGAUGGUUAUUUUAUUUCAAAAUAAAUCAUGACUACGUCCUCCAAUUUUUUUGGACAAGAAUAGCUCGAGAACAUCAGCAUUUUUUAGGGGUAUCACCACUUUAUUUAUUCAACAAGUACGUAAGUUGGGAUACAAGCAAUAUCUGGGGUUGUAGAAGCCACAGGUGGGGCCCCACAUCAAAAGAUAAACUAGCUUUGGCUAAACUAUGAGCUUCUCUAGGUUCAAACUUUACAAGAUCUAUUUCAAAUCUACCAUCAAAUCUUUAAUGUCAUUGAUGAUCAUCGAAUUCAUCAUCACCUUGCAAUCUAUGGCAACCUGAAUUUUGUGAAUAUGCAAGUCUAGAGCUAGCGAUAGUGCUUCACGUACAACCAUGCUUCUAGUACUCCUGGCUCAAUCAUUUCCUGCUCAAGUACUGUGGAUGCCCCUACAUAUUUGCCAUCAUAUUCUCUACAAAUAGUUGCACAUGAGCCUACCUGCUCAUUUGUGAAAAUGGCAACAUCGACAUGGAUCUUGUGGCAUCCUUCCGCAGGAGGUGACCACCUUAUUCUCGAUCAGCUAACCACGUUGCUGCAGAUCUUCUUACUGGGAUUAUUGAAAGAUCGCUCAGGUAGCUACUCCCUCCGUCCUUGAAAGAGUGUACUUCGAACUUUUGUUGGAGAGUCAAACUAUCUCAAAGUUUGACCGAAUUUGUACAAAAAUAUAUCAAUGUUUGUGAAACCAACUAGGUAUAUGAUGGAAAUAUAUUUUAUCAUUAAUGUAGUGAUACUAAUUUGAUGGCAUAAGUGUUUGAUGUAUUAGUGUAUAAAUACGGUCAAACAUAAAAAAGUUUGACUUUCCAACAAAGUUGGAAGUACACUCUUUUAAGGACGGAGGGACUAUGUAUGACGCUGGCCAUAGCAUGAGGAGAUUGGAAAUGCUCCUUGUGAAUAGCACGAUGUCGAACCCACCAGAUUGGCCACGUCGUUAUAAGGACUAUGAUGAACUCAUCCUCCUUCAUUGCAUCCUUCAUCUGCAGUAACCAAACUCUUGUAUCAUUGGUUCUGCACUCAAUUAGUACAUCCACAAUAUGUUGGGGAACUUUAGCUCACAGGUUCCCCUCUAUCGAAUGAUUCGUUCGCUAGAGGAGGACAGAACCAACCGAUUUGGCCUCUUGGGGCUUUCGCUCUAGUGGGUUACCAAGCGAGCCCCAAUUGGGCCAAAGGCAUGUUUAACUAUUUUUCCUUUAAAUGCCAUUCACCAAAAUAAUAUACAGUACAAGGUAGAGACACAUAAAUUUACAAACUUGCCAAGAUCUAAAAUUUAAAAGUUGCCAUGCAAUAAAUAAAAAUCUGCCCAACCAGUAAAUUUACAAUUAUAUAUAUAAUAAAAAAUUGUCAUGUUAUCGAAAAAAAUAAAAAUGCCAUGCUGAUUUGAGAACAAAAAGAAUAAUCCAAUGGCAACUUUAGCAGAAAUAAAUGUUUAUCUAGAACAAGCAGAACAUAUAAAUAAUAGGGGCGAUUGACAUGUCAGACUAAGAAGAAUUUGGCCUCUCUAAAAACAUGGCAAUUAACAAAAAGUCAUGUUCUAAUUAAUAAAAAAGUGCAAUUCUGCCUACAAAUAAACUACCCAUGAUCUAAAAUGUAAAAAUGCCAUGGUACCUACGAAUGAACUACCACUAGUUAAUAAAAUUGCCAUGUUGUAAAAUAAUAAAAUUGCCAUAUUCGAAUUAAUAUAAGUGCCGAUGCCUGUAAUAAAGCUACCAAGGUCCAAUAAAUGAAGUUGCCAUGGUCUACAUACUAUGCUUGCCAUCGACUAAAAAAAUUGAAAUUGCCAUACUACAUACAACAAAACUACCAUGGUCUGAUUUAUAAGAAUUGCCAUGGCCUAAUUAUAUAAAAGUGGCAUGUUGCCUAUAAUAAAGAUACCAAUAAAGUAACAUGGCCUACAUGUUAAACUUGCCAUUAUCUAAGGAAGUAAAAAUGUCAUGGGCUAAUUUAUAAAAUUGCCAUGGUCUAACUAAUAAAAAGUGCCAUAAUUCCUAUAGUGAAAUUUCACAAGGUCUAAAUUAAUAAGCCAUGCUUAUUAUAAUAAAAAUGCCAUGCUCUUGAAAAUAAAAGUACCAUGCUUGUACAAAAAAGACAUGAUGUACAUAAAUAAUGCCAUGGUCUUCAAAAUAAAAUGGCGUGCUCUUUAAAAAAAAUGGUGCGCAAAAAAUGCCAUCCAACGCAAACAAACUACCAUUGCCUAACUAAAUAAAAUUGCCAUCGUAUGAAUAGUAAAAGUACCAUGUAAUAAAUCCAUGGCGUAAUUAAAUAAAUUGCCAUGAUUUAAAGAAAAUAAAUUUACCAUGUUACAUAACUUGAAAUUGCUAGGGUUUAAUUUAAAAAAUAUGAUCCUCUAACAAAAAAUUUGCCAUGGUACCUAAGGUAAAACUAACAUGAUCUAAAAAGGUAAAAAUGCAGUGGUCCAAAUAGUGAGAUUACCAUGCUGCCUAUGAUAAAUUUGCACAUGGCACUGCUAGCAUGAGUAAAAAAACAUUGUAUGAUCUUAUGAUGAUUAUCUACAUAAUUACAAUUAGAAACAAAUUGCCAUGGGGACAUUUACAAAAAUUUCAUGCAAAAAAUGUUGUAUGAAAACAUCCAUAAUAACUAGGCCAUGAUCUAAAGCAAAAAUUGCCAAUGUUACAUAAACUAAAAAUUGCCAUGGUCUAAUUUGGAAAAAUUGUCAUUCGCUAACUAAUAAAAAUGACAUGGCACCCAAAAAUAAAUCAAUAGUAGGAAUACCAUGGUCUGAUUGCUAAAAAUGACAUGGUGCCUAUAAUAAACAUGCUUAAGAACAUGGCAAUUUUUCAUGUAUAACUGAAUGUACAUUUUGCCAUGCCAAAAAUGUAUAAUUUGGCAUGUACAGUUUGUUAAUUAAUUUAUCAUGUAUAACGAAAAUUGCAUUCCACAUUGCCAUUUUGUGAGAAGGCGUGGGAAUUUGUCUGAAUAGUUUUGUCGUGUGGCAUCAAUGGUGAUUAUAAACCAAGAAAAUGCGAGAAAUGUUGUGGAACAAGUACUGAUGGAGUUGCCCAUGGGUUAAUUUUUGCAUGAACUAGUGCAAAACACCAAACGUUUUUGGGCUAGAACGUGAACAUAGAAAAAAUGAAAACAAAACUGCUAGAGCUGCAAUUCUUACAGGCGUCGAGUAUAACUACCAGUCUACCUACAAUAAUAAAAAGUGUCAUGCUACCUACAAUAAAACUACCAUGGUCUAAAUAGUAAAAAUGCCAUAACCUAACAAAUAAAAGUGCCACACUAGCUUAGUCAUGUCGACAUGGCAAAAAUAAGGAACUUUGUUCUUUUGGACAAAGAUGGCAAAUUUAGAGAAAUCAAAACAACUUGUUUCACACGGCAAUGUGGAGGGGACAAAAUUCUAAAAAGAGCUUUGUAAGGGGCAUUAUAUAAGAAUUGCCCAUGAGGCAAACCAUAUGACAUGCACAUUAGCCAUAGGAACACACAAUUUUGUGUUGACGAUUCAAAGAAAUAAACAUGCUUUAAUGUAAAUGUACAUGGAGAAAAAGUACCUUAAAAUUGUCAAUGGCAAAAUCUUACCAGGAGGCAAGCAUUGUUGUGCAUGGCAAAAAGUAACUUAAAUUUGCCAAUGGCAAAAUCUGGAAACGGGCAAAACAUUAUUGUGCAUGGCAAAAAGUAACUUAAAUUUGUCAUUCAUUUGUUCAAAAUAAAAAUUGUAAUCAUAUUUAACAAUAAAUUUGUCCACAAAAAUCCUUGCAAACAAAUAAAUCAAAGACAAACUAUCAUGGUGUCCAUUCCUACAUAGUACAAAAUUGCCAUGUACAUUUGUGCCUAGAAUAACCAAGCUACAUAAGAUAGAUUUGCCACAUGUUCAAUAAUUUUCAUGGUAUAUACAAAUUAAAAAAUGCCAUGGUACAUACAAAAUUUGUCAUAGAAUAUAAAAUAAAAAUGCCAUCGUUCAUAGUUUUUUUUUGCCAUGGCACAAAAAUGAAAAAUAACAUAGUAGAGUGAAUUUGCCAUGAAAUCUAAAACUAGAUGGGAUGAUGCAUUAGCUGUCAGCACACAAAAACUAGGUGGAAACUACUAUAUGAAUUAGUUCUGCUCACUCCAAAAACUACUUAGCAAAAAGAGCAUCUCCCUGCCGAUCCGAAUCUUUCAAAAAUUUGAGUACCAUGUAGAUAGCCAUGAAGAGCCCAGCGAACUUCAUCUCUCUGCCGGCAAACCGCCGCUCCACAACUUGCUUCUCCUCCCGGUGCUACUUGUGAGUUGCGUUGGGAUUUCCUCGAAGAGAAGAGGAUGAUGCAAUACAGUAGAGAUAAGUAUUUCCCUCAGUUAAGAACCAAGGUUAUCAAUCCAGUAGGAGAACCACGCGGAACCUCGUUAGCAGUACAUGCACACACAAAAGCAAAUACUUGCACCCAACGCGGUCAUGGGGGUUGUCAAUCCCCUCGACGAUUAUUUGCAAGGAUCAAAUCUCGUAGUGGUAGAUAGAUAAAAUAAAAACACAUAAUAAAAAAACGAUAAUAAAAUUGUAGCCAGGUAUUUUUGAAUUUAUAUAUGAUAAAAGUAGACCCGGGGGUCAUAGUUUUCACUAGAGGCUUCUCUCUCAAACAAAAAGCAUACGAUGUGUAAACAAAUUACUGUUGGGCAAUGCGCAUACUUAUGACUAUAUUUAAGGCAAUGAUCAUGUAUAUAGGCAUCACGUGUGAGACAAGUAGAGCGACUCCUGCUUGCAUCUAAUACUAUUACUCCACCCAUCGACCACUAUCUAGCAUGCAUCUAGGGUAUUAAGUCAUAAAAACAGAGUAACGCCUUAAGCAAGAUGACAUGAUGUAGCCAAAGUAAAUCCAACCAAAAUGAAUAAACCUCGUCAUUUUAUCCUUAGUGGCAACAAUACAAAUAUGUGUCCUUUCCCCUACUUUGUCAAUGGGAUGGAGCACCGCAAGAUUGAACCCAUCACAAAGCACCUCUCCCAUUGCAAGAUAAAUCAAUAUAGUUGGCCAAAUCAAACAGAUAGAUUAGAGAGAAAUACAAAGCUAUAACAAUCAUGCAUAAAAGAAUUCAGGAAAGACUCAAAUAUUUCUCAUGAAUAAUGUGAUCAUAAACCCUCAAUUCAUCCGAUCCCAACAAACACACCGCAAAAGAAGAUUACAUCGAAUAGAUCUCCAAGAACAUCGAGGAGAACAUUGUAUUGAAGAUCAAAGAAAGAGAGAAGAAGCCAUCUAGCUACUAGCUAUGGACCCGUUGGUCCGUGAUAAACUAUUCACGCAUCAUCGGAAGGGCAGCAAGGUUGAUGUAGAACCCCUCUAUGAUCGAUUCCCCCUCCGGCAGAGUAUCGGAAAAGGCCUGCAGAUGGGAUCGCGAAAGAAUAGAGACUUGCGGCGGCGAAAAAAGUGUUUUGGGUGGCUCCCUGAUAUAUUGGGAAUAUUUGAGAAUUUAUAGAGGUGGAAUUAGGCCAAGAUGUACCAUGAGGGGCCCACAAGCCUGGGGGCGCACCUGGCGAGCUUGUCGCUCCCUCGUGACCCGUAUGGUCUUCUUCCGAACCUUCUAGGGUCUCUCUGGAUCCAGAAAAAUCGUCAAAAAGUUUUGUAGUGUUUGGACUCCGUCUGGUACUGAUUUCCUGAAAAGCGAAAAACAAACCAAAAAACAACAACUGGCACUGGGCACUAUGUUAAUAGGUUAGUUCCAAAAAAAUGAUAUAUAAUUACAUGUAAAACAUCCAAGAUUGAUACUAUAAUAGCAUGGAGCAAUAAAAAUUAUAGAUACAUUGAAGAAGUAUCACCCGGCAACGAGCAACCUCCACCACACACAUCUCCGUCAGCCGCCAGGGGCCAUGGAGCCCGAGCGCACAAAGACUCCCCACGACUACCCGCCAUCGCUCCGCUCGGCUGUGUCACCAUCACUAGCGAGCCCAUGCAUGACGUUCCUCCCUAUUUUUCCCUAUCCUUCCUCGCGCCCUCCUCUCUCCUCGCAACCUCAACUCCUUAUACAAGCUAGCCCAAGCGGACAACUAUGGCAGCCACCUGGUCGUGCCCCGCGUCGGUUUGUCGCCCAACACCUGGUGACCUCCCGGGAGCCAUACAACCCAACCUCGGUGCCGACCACCAGGGUAUAGAAGAGCAUAAUGAAAAGGGUGAGCAGGAGCAGCGCAAGGCGGCGGAGGUCCACGCUGACCUCCCGUGUUGUCGCGUCGAAGACACCAGCGGGACUCAGCUCGUCGCUGGAGCAGAGCCAGGGAGUGGAGGUCCCUGAUACGUCCAUUUUGCAUCAUGCUUUUAUAUCAAUAUUUAUUGCAUUAUGGGCUGUUAUUACACAUUAUGUCACAAUACUUAUGCCUAUUCUCUCUUAUUUUACAAGGUUUACAUAAGGAGGGAGAAUGCCGGCAGCUGGAAUUCUGGGCUGGAAAAGGAGCAAAUAUUAGAGACCUAUUCUGCACAACUCCAAAAGUCCUCAAACUCCACGAAAGUCAUUUUUGGAAAUAAUAAAAAAUAUUGAGCGGAAGAAAUACCAAAGGGGGCCCACACCCUGGCCACGAGGGUGGGGGCGCGCCCUACCCCCCUGGGCGCGCCCCCUGCCUCGUGGGCCCCCUGUUGGCCCUCCGGUGCCCAUCUUCUACUAUAUGAAGUCUUUCGUCCGAAGAAAAAUCAUAAGCAACCUUUCGGGACGAGACUCCGCCGCCACGAGGCGGAACCUUGGCGGAACCAAUCUAGGACUCUGGCAGAGCUGUUCUGCCGGCGACACUUCCCUCCGGGAGGGGGAAAUCAUCGCCAUCGUCAUCACCAACGCUCCUCUCAUCGGGAGAGGGCAAUCUCCAUCAACAUCUUCACCAGCACCAUCUCCUCUCAAACCCUAGUUCAUCUCUUGUAUCCAAUUCUUGUCUCUAAGUCUGGGAUUGGUACCUAUAGGUUGCUAGUAGUGUUGAUUACUCCUUGUAGUUGAUGCUAGUUGGUUUAUUUGGUGGAAGAUCAUAUGUUCAGAUCCUAUAUGCAUAUUAAUACCCCUCUGAUUAUGAACAUGAAUAUGCUUUGUGAGUAGUUACGUUUGUUCAUGAGGACAUGGGAGAAGUCUUGCUAUUAGUAGACAUGUGAAUUUGGUAUUCGUUCGAUAUUUUGAUGAGAUGUAUGUUGUCUCUCCUCUAGUGGUGUUAUGUGAACGUCGACUACAUGACACUUCACCAUUAUUUGGGCCUAGAGUAAGGCAUUGGGAAGUAAUAAGUAGAUGAUGAGUUGCUAGAGUGACAGAAGCUUAAACCCUAGUUUAUGCGUUGCUUCGUAAGGGGCUGAUUUGGAUCCAUAUGUUUCAUGCUAUGGUUAGGUUUACCUUAGUACUUCUUUUGUAGUUGCGGAUGCUUGCAAUAGGAGUUAAUCAUAAGUGGGAUGCUUGUUCAAGUAAGAACAGCACCCAAGCACCGGUCCACCCACAUAUCAAAUUAUCAAAGUACCGAACGCGAAUCAUAUGAACGUGAUGAAAACUAGCUUGACGAUAAUUCCCAUGUGUCCUCGGGAGCGCUUUUCUCUAUAUAAGAGUUUGUCCAGGCUUUUCCUUUGCUACAGAAAGGAUUGGGCCACCUUGCUGCACUUUAUUUACUUUUGUUACUUGUUGCUCGUUAAAAAUUAUCUUAUCACAAAACUAUCUGUUACCUAUAAUUUCAGUGUUUGCAGAGAAUACCUUGCUGAAAACCGCUUAUCAUUUCCUUCUGCUCCUCGUUGGGUUCGACACUCUUACUUAUCGAAAGGACUAUGAUAGAUCCCCUAUACUUGUGGGUCAUCAAGACUCUUUUCUGGCGCCGUUGCCGGGGAGUGAAGCGCCUUUGGUAGGUGGAAUUUGGUAAGGAAAAAUUUAUAUGGUGUGCUGAAAUUUACCGUCACUUGUUACUAUGGAAAGUAAUCCUCUGAUGGGCUUGUUCGGGGUAUCUUCACCCCGACCAGUAGAGUAAAGAGUUGCUCCUCAACCUACUGAACCUACUGAAAAUGAAAAUGUCUACUUUGAAAUUCCUUCGGGUAUGUUAGAAAAACUGCUAGCUAAUCCUUUUGCAGGAGACGGAACAAUGCAUCCUGAUGAGCACCUAAUCUAUGUGGAUGAAGUUUGUGGAUUAUUUAAGCUUGUAGGUAUACCCAAUGAUGUUAUUAAGAAGAAGGUCUUCCCUUUAUCUUUGAAGGGAGAUGCAUUGACAUGGUAUAGGCUAUGUGAUGAUAUGGGAUCAUGGAACUACAAACGAUUGAAAUUGGAAUUUCAUCAGAAGUUUUAUCCUAUGCAUCUUGUUCAUCGUGAUCGCAAUUAUAUAUAUAAUUUCUGGCCUCGCGAAGGAGAAAGCAGCGCUCAAGCUUGGGGGAGGCUUAAAUCAAUGUUAUAUUCAUGCCCCAAUCAUGAGCUCCCAAGAGAGAUAAUUAUUCAAAAAAAUUAUGCUCGGCUUUCUGAUAACAAUCACACCAUGCUCGAUACUUCUUGUGCUGGCUCUUUUAUGAUGAAGACUAUUGAAUUCAAAUGGGAUUUAUUGGAAAGAAUUAAAUGCAACUCUGAAUAUUGGGAUCUCGACGAAGGUAAGGAGUCAGGUGUGACACCUAAGUUUGAUUGUGUUAAAUCUUUUAUGGAUACCGAUGUUUUCCGUAAAUUUAGCACUAAAUAUGGACUUGACUCUGAGAUAGUAGCUUCUUUCUGUGAAUCUUUUGCUGCUUACGUUGAUCUCCCUAAGGAGAAGUGGUUUAAAUAUCAUCCUCCCAUAGAAGUAAAAGUAGUUGCAACUAUUAAAGUUGAAGAAAAGACUAUCACUUAUAAUGAUCCUAUUGUUCCUACCGCUUAUGUUGAGAAACCACCUUUCCCUGUUAGAAUAAAGGAUCAUGCUAAAGCUUCGUAAAAGCAAUAUUAGAACUUAUACACCCCCUGAGAAAGUUAAAGUUGAACCUAAUAUUGCUAUUGUUAAAGAUCUCUUGUCUGAUAAUAUUGAUGGGCAUGUUAUUUAUUUCUGUGAUGAAACUGCUAGAAUUGCUAAACCUUGUGCUAAAGAUAAACAUAGACCGGUGGUAGGCAUGCCUGUUAUCUCUAUUAAAAUAGGAGAUCAUUGUUAUCAUGGCUUAUGUGAUAUGGGUGCCAGUGCUAGUGCUAUACCUCAUGACUUAUACAAAGAAAUUAUGCAUGAUAUUGCACCUGCUGAGAUAGAAGAUAUUGAUGUUACCAUUAAGCUUGCCAAUAGAGAUACCAUAUCACCCAUUGGAAUUGUUAGAGAUGUUGAAGUCUUGUGUGGGAAAACUAAAUAUCCUGCUGAUUUUCUUGUUCUUGGUUCCUCACAAGAUAGCUUUUGUCCCAUUAUAUUUGGUAGACCCUUCUUGAACACUGUUAAUGCUAAGAUAGACUGCGAAAAGGAUGUUGUUACUAUUGGUUUGGGUGAUAUGUCUCAUGAGUUUAAUUUCUCUAAAUUUCGUAGACAACACCAUGAAGAGGAAUUUCCUAGUAUGGAUGAAAUUAUUGGUCUUGCUUCUAUUGCCGUACCUCCUAAUGAUCCUUUGGAACAAUAUUUGCUAGACCAUGAAAAUGAUAUGUUUAUGAAUGAAAGAAGGGAAAUAGAUGAAGUAUUCUUUAAACAGGAACCCAUCCUAAAACACAAUUUGCCUGUUGAAAUCCUAGGGAUCCUCCUCCACCCAAGGGUGAUCCCGUGUUUGAGCUUAAACCGUUACCUGAUACUCUUAAAUAUGCUUAUAUUGAUGAGAAAAAGAUAUAUCCUGUUAUUAUUAGUGCUAACCCUUCAGAGCAUGAAGAAGAGAGAUUGUUGAAAACUCUGAAGAAGCACCGCGCUGCUAUUGGAUAUACUCUUGAUGAUCUUAAGGGCAUUAGUCCCACUCUAUGUCAACAUAAAAUAAAUUUGGAGAAAGAUGCCAAACUAGUUCGUGAUCACCAACGACGGCUGAAUCCUAAGAUGAAAGAAGUGGUAAGAAAGGAAAUACUAAAGCUCCUUGAGGCAAGUAUAAUUUAUCCCGUUGCUGAUAGUCAGUGGGUAAGUCAUGUCCAUUGUGUCCCUAAGAAGGGAGGUAUUACUGUCGUUCCUAAUGAUAAAGAUGAAUUGAUCCCGCAAAGAAUUAUUACAGGUUAUAGGAUGGUAAUUGAUUUCCGCAAAUUAAAUAAGGCUACUAAAAAAGAUCAUUACCCCUUACCUUUUUAUAAAUCAAAUGCUAGAAAGAUUAUCCAAACAUACACAUUUUUGCUUUCUAGAUGGUUAUUCUGGUUUCUCUCAAAUACCUGUGUCAGCCGAUGAUCAAUCAAAGACCACUUUUACCUGCCCUUUCGGUACUUUUGCUUAUAGAUGUAUGCCUUUUGGUUUAUGUAAUGCACCUGCCACCUUUCAAAGAUGCAUGAUGGCUAUAUUCUCUGACUUUUGUGAAAAGAUUUGUGAGGUUUUUAUGGACGAUUUCUCCGUCUAUGGAUCCUCUUUUGAUGAUUGCUUGAGCAACCUUGAUCGAGUUUUGCAAAGAUGUGAAGAAACUAAUCUUGUCUUGAAUUGGGAAAAGUGCCACUUUAUGGUUAAUGAAGGUAUUGUCUUGGGGCAUAAAAUUUCUGAAAGAGGUAUUGAAGUUGAUAAAGCCAAGGUUGAUGCUAUUGAAAAGAUGCCAUGUCCCAAGGACAUUAAAUGUAUAAGAAGUUUCCUUGGUCAUGCCGGUUUUUAUAGGAGGUUCAUUAAGGACUUCUCAAAAAUUUCUCGGCCUCUGACUAAUUUAUUACAAAAAGAUAUACCAUUUGUCUUUGAUGAUGAUUGUGUAGAAGCAUUUGAAAUACUUAAGAAAGCAUUGAUCUCUGCACCCAUUGUUCAACCACCUGAUUGGAAUUUACCCUUUGAAAUCAUGUGUGAUGCUAGUGAUUAUGCUGUAGGUGCUGUUCUAGGGCAAAGAGUUGAUAAGAAAUUAAAUGUUAUUCAAUAUGCUAGUAAAACUCUAGACAAUGCUUAGAGAAAUUAUGCUACUACUGAAAAAGAAUUCUUAGCAGUUGUAUUUGCUUGUGAUAAGUUCAGACCUUAUAUUGUUGAUUCUAAAGUAACUAUUCACACUGAUCAUGCUACUAUUAAAUAUCUUAUGGAAAAUAAAGAUGCUAAACCUAGACUUAUUAGAUGGGUUCUCUUGCUACAAGAAUUUGAUUUGCAUAUUAUUGAUAGAAAGGGAGCUGAGAACCCCGUUGCAGACAACUUGUCUAGGUUAGAGAAUGUUCUUGAUGACCCACUACCUAUUGAUGACAGCUUUCCUGAUGAACAAUUAAAUGUCAUAAAUGCCUCUCGUACUACUCCAUGGUAUGCUGAUUAUGCUAAUUACAUCGUUGCUUAAUUCAUACCACCUAGUUUCACAUACCAACAAAAGAAAAAGUUUUUCUAUGAUUUAAGACAUUACUUCUGGGAUGACCCACAUCUUUAUAAAGAAGGAGUAGAUGGUGUUAUUAGACGUUGUGUACCUGAGCAUGAACAGGAACAGAUCCUACGCAAGUGUCACUCCGAGGCUUAUGGAGGACACCACGCUGGAGACAGAACUGCACAUAAGGUAUUGCAAUCCGGUUUUUAUUGGCCUACUCUCUUCAAGGAUGCCCGUAAGUUUGUUUUAUCUUGUGAUGAGUGUCAAAGAAUUGGUAAUAUCAGUAGACGUCAAGAAAUGCCUAUGAAUUAUUCACUUGUUAUCGAACCAUUUGAUGUUUGGGGCUUUGAUUAUAUGGGACCUUUUCCUGCCUCCAAUGGAUACACACAUAUUUUAGUUGCUGUUGAUUACGUUACUAAGUGGGUAGAAGCUAUUCCAACUAGUAGUGUUGAUCAUAACACUUCUAUUAAGAUGCUUAAAGAAGUUAUUUUUCCGAGGUUUGGAGUCCCUAGAUAUUUAAUGACUGAUGGUGGUUCACAUUUUAUUCAUGGUGCUUUCCGAAAAAUGCUUGCUAAAUAUGAUGUUAAUCAUAGAAUUGCAUCUCCUUAUCACCCGCAGUCUAGUGGUCAAGUAGAAUUGAGUAAUAGAGAGCUUAAAUUAAUUUUGCAAAAGACUAUUAAUAGAUCUAGAAAGAAUUGGUCCAAGAAACUUGAUGAUGCAUUAUGGGCCUACAGAACUGCAUAUAAAAAUCCUAUGGGUAUGUCUCCGUAUAAAAUGGUUUAUGGAAAAGCAUGUCACUUACCUCUCGAACUAGAACAUAAGGCUUAUUGGGCUAUUAAAGAGCUCAACUAUGAUUUCAAACUUGCCGAUGAGAAGAGGUUAUUUGACAUUAGCCCACUUGAUGAAUGGAGAACCCAAGCCUAUGAAAAUUCCAAGUUGCUUAAAGAAAAAGUUAAAAGAUGGCAUGACAAAAGAAUACAAAAGCGUGAGUUUAAUGUAGGUGAUUAUGUAUUGCUAUACAACUCUCGUUUAAGAUUUUUUGCAGGAGAACUUCUCUCUAAAUGGGAAGGUCCUUACGUUAUCGAGGAGGUCUAUCGUUCCGGUGCCAUAAAAAUCAACAACUUCGAAGGCACAAAUCCGAAGGUGGUAAAUGGUCAAAGAAUCAAACAUUAUAUCUCAGGUAAUCCUAUAAAAUGUUGAAACCAAUGUUAUUGAAACCGUAACCCCGGAGGAGUACAUAAGGGACACCUACCGGAAUGUUUCAGGCUCUGUAAAGGAAUAGGUAUGUGGUACGGUAAGUAAACCGACUCCAAAACAGUUCUAAUGGCAAUUUUUCUCCGUUUGGGAAUAUUUAGAAAAAUAGAAAAAUAAGAAGCAGUCCGGGAAGGACACGAGGCCUCCACGAGGGUGGAGGGCGCGCCCUACCCUACUGGGCGCGCCCCCUACCUCGUGGGCACCUCGUGUGCUCUCCGGACUCCGUUUUCUUGCACGAUACGUAUUUUGGUCGGUAAAAAUUCAUUAUAUAAUCUCCCGAAGAUUUUGACUCCUGUAUCACGCAAAUAUCCUCUGUUCUUGUUUCGAGCUGUUUUUCUGACAGAUCUAGAUCAUCAUGACGUCUCCAAGUGCCCCCAAGGACAAGUUCUUCGAGAAGGUCAUCAAUCCCUACCUCGCGGAGGUGCUGCAACACCCUCAAACCAUUGAGAUGCAUGAGGGGGUGCUACACAUCCGCGAUGUUGAGGGACCAAGGAAGACCGGAAGCGUGGAGACAAGGCUCGAGGCAAUGGGGCAACUAGUUUUCAAGUGCCAGGAGAUGGUGGAGCGUGGACUUGACUCCAAUCACAUGAUGAUCGCGGAGUUCACCAACAACCACAAGCUGGAUGCCAAGGACAUUGGGGAGGCCAUCUUCAAGCUCCACGAGAAAAUCGAGCACCUCCAAGCCCAAAUCUAUGACCUGCAAAACCAAAACUGUGAGUAUGAAUAUAGAUUCAAGAGAAUGAGUUUGGCUGCAGAUUUGAGGAUCCCGGAGACUCGAUCAUCCUUCUAUGAUGGUGAGCCCAUGCCUUGGAAGAGGGACGACAAGCCUGCUUCAUCAACAACCCCAUCACCACCACUUCUGAGGAAGGAGACAUAAUCACAUGGGUAUGGGUACACCCCUUGGCAACUGCCAAGCUUGGGGGAGAUGCCCCGGUAUCGUAUCACCAUCACACUCCUAUCUUUACCGUUUUUUCUUAGCUCGAUCCUAUUAGUAGUAUCUUGAUCUAGUAGAAUAAAGUUUUAGCAUGAUCUAGUUUUGAGUUUUGCUUUGUGAUCUUUCUAUGUAAUCGAGUCUGUGAGCUAUAUAUAUAAUAAAGAUUAAUGUUGAGUCAAGGGCUUGAUUGUCUUGCUAUGAUUUUGAGUGAAUAAAAGAAAGAGAAAAGAAUAAAAAGAAACAAAGAGAUCAUAUUGAUCUUAUGGAGAGUAAUGACUUCACAUAGAAAGAGUAUGAUGAUUAAAAGUUGUUGAGAGUUGACAGACAUAGCUUUGGUCAUCGUUGCAAUUAAUAGGAAGUAAUAAAGAAAGAGAGGUUCACAUAUAAAUAUACUAUCUUGGACAUCUUUUAUGAUUGUGAGCACUCAUUAAAAUAUGACAAGCUAAAGAGUUGAUGUUGGACAAGGAAGACAACGUAAUGGGUUAUGUUUUCUUAUAUCUGAGAUAAAGUAUAUUGUCAUGGAUCAUCCAACAUGUUGAGCUUGCCUUUCCCCCUCAUGCUAGCCAAAUUCUUUGCACCAAGUAGAGAUACUACUUGUGCUUCCCAAUACCGUUAAACCGGUUUUGCCAUGAGAGUCCACCAUAUCUACCUAUGGAUUGAGUAAGAUCCUUCAAGUAAGUUGUCAUCGGUGCAAGCAAUAAAAAUUGCUCUCUAAAUAUGUAUGAUUGAUUGGUGUGGAGGAAAUAAGCUUUAUACGAUCUUGUCAUGUGGAAGAAAUAAAAGCGACGGACUGCAUAAUAAAGGUUCAUAUCACAAGUGGCAAUAUAAAGUGACGUUAUUUCGCAUUAAGAUUUUGUGCAUCCAACCCUGAAAGCGCAUGGCAACCUCUGCUUCCCUCUGCGAAGGGCCUAUCUUUUAUUAUUAUCUUCUACCUUAUGCAAGAGUCAUGGUGAUCUUCACCUUUCCUUUUUACAUUUUAUCCUUUGGCAAGCAUAGUAUGUUGGUAAGAUCCUGAUAUAUAUAUAUAUAUAUAUAUAUAUAUAUAUAUAUAUAUAUAUAUAUAUAUAAAUAAUUGGAUGUAAGUUAGCAUGAACUAUUAUUGUUGACAUUACCCUUGAGGUAAAAGGUUGGGAGGCGGAACUAUAAGCCCCUAUCUUUCUCUGUGUCCGAUUAAAACUUCGUAACCACAAGUAUUGCGUGACUGUUAGCAAUUGUGAAAGACUAAAUGAUAGUUGAGUAUGUGGACUUGCUAAAAGCUCUGACAUAGACUCUUUCUGAUGUUAUGAUAAAUUGCAAUUGCUUCAAUGACUGAGAUUAUAGUUUGUUAGUUCUCAAUAAAGUUUCUGAUUCAUACUUUGCAUUGUGAAUAGAUUAUUACUUGAGCAUAAGAAAUCAUAUGACAAUAUCCAUAUAUGUUGUUGUUAUGAAAAUAAUCAUGAUGCCCUCAUGUCCGUAUUUUAUUUUAUCAACACCUCUACCUCUAAACAUGUGGACAUUUUAUCGUUAUCGGCUUCCGCUUGAGGACAAGCGAGGUCUAAGCUUGGGGGAGUUGAUACGUCCAUUUUGCAUCAUGCUUUAUAUCAAUAUUUAUUACAUUGUGGGUUGUUAUUACACAUUAUGUCACAAUACUUAUGCCUAUUCUCUCUUAUUUUACAAGGUUUACAUAAGGAGGGAGAAUGCCGACAGCUGGAAUUCUGGGCUGGAAAAGGAGCAAAUAUUAGAGACCUAUUCUGCACAACUCCAAAAGUCCUCAAACUCCACGAAAGUCAUUUUUGGAAAUAAUAAAAAAUAUUGAGCGGAAGAAAUACCAAAGGGGGCCCACACCCUGGCCACGAGGGUGGGGGGCGCGCCCUACCCCCCUGGGCGCGCCCCCUGCCUCGUGGGCCCCCUGUUGUCCCUCCGGUGCCCAUCUUCUGCUAUAUGAAGUCUUCCGUCCGAAGAAAAAUCAUAAGCAAGCUUUCGGGACGAGACUCCGCCGCCACGAGGCGGAACCUUGGCGGAACCAAUCUAGGGCUCCGGCAGAGCUGUUCUGCCGGGGACACUUCCCUCCGGGAGGGGGAAAUCAUCGUCAUCGUCAUCACCAACGCUCCUCUCAUCGGGAGAGGGCAAUCUCCAUCAACAUCUUCAGCAACACCAUCUCCUCUCAAACCCUAGUUCAUCUCUUGUAUCCAAUUCUUGUCUCUAAGUCUGGGAUUGGUACCUGUAGGUUGCUAGUAGUGUUGAUUACUCCUUGUAGUUGAUGCUAGUUGGUUUAUUUGGUGGAAGAUCAUAUGUUCAGAUCCUAUAUGCAUAUUAAUGUCCCUAUGAUUAUGAACAUGAAUAUGCUUUGUGAGUAGUUACGUUGUUCCUGAGGACAUGGGAGAAGUCUUGCUAUUAGUAGUCAUGUGAAUUUGGUAUUCGUUCGAUAUUUUGAUGAGAUGUAUGUGGUCUCUCCUCUAGUGGUGUUAUGUGAACGUCGACUACAUGACACUUCACCAUUAUUUGGGCCUAGAGGAAGGCAUUGGGAAGUAAUAAGUAGAUGAUGGGUUGCUAGAGUGACAGAAGCUUAAACCCUAGCUUAUGCGUUGCUUCAUAAGGGACUGAUUUGGAUCCAUAUGUUUCAUGCUAUGGUUAGGUUUACCUUAAUACUUCUUUUGUAGUUGCGGAUGCUUGCAAUAGGAGUUAAGCAUAAGUGGGAUGCUUGUUCAAGUAAGAACAGCACCCAAGCACCAGUCCACCCACAUAUCAAAUUAUCAAAGUACCGAACGCGAAUCAUAUGAACGUGAUGAAAACUAGCUUGACGAUAAUUCCCAUGUGUCCUCGGGAGCGCUUUUCUCUAUAUAAGAGUUUGUCCAGGCUUGUCCUUUGCUACAAAAAGGAUUGGGCCACCUUGCUGCACUUUAUUUACUUUUGUUACUUGUUGCUCGUUACAAAUUAUCUUAUCACAAAACUAUCUGUUACCUAUAAUUUCAGUGUUUGCAGAGAAUACCUUGCUGAAAACCGCUUAUCAUUUCCUUCUGCUCCUUGUUGGGUUCGACACUCUUACUUAUCGAAAGGACUACGAUAGAUCCCCUAUACUUGUGGAUCAUCAGUCCCUGCUGAUCUCCCGCGUCGAAGAGACCAGCGGGACCGUGCUCGUCACCGGGGUUGGAUAGCUGGCUCCCUUAUCACUAUCUGCGGACCAGCCCCAGACAAAUACAGUGUCUAUUUUGGGGGUCAGCGUUGGAGAUGUCCUUGUAAUACCAACUUAUCUUUGUGGGUAUGCAUUUGGAUGUGCAAACAUUAAUUGCAUCCAUAUCCUUUUACAGUAUCAAUUAAUUUCUCCAACUCAUUUCAUUGUUUUUUUACUAUAAUACUAUCAUCACGCUUGCAUGCAACCUGUCUCCUCCUUGAGGCCACCGCAUGCUAAUUUCAUUUUGUAUAAAUUGUAGUGGACCGUUGUACAGUAACCAUAAAGACAACCUAGGCCUAGUGACAGGAGGUAAGAUGUAAGGAUGACAAACCAAUAACCAUGUCAACAAGACAGGAAAAGGUACAACUAGCUACAUAAAAUUAGUUGAUUCUUCCUACAAUUUGUAUGAAGUUUUUGGCUUUCACUGUUGUUCAAAUAUAUUACUAAUAUAUGAAUAUCCAAGCACACGUUAUUUGAAAUAUCGACUCAUCCUUUGUUGGUUCCCGCGUAAUUUAAGAUACUCUUUGUUCCAAAUAAAUCUUUCUUUACGAUUCUAACGUACAAUAAUUUCCAUUAUACUUAUUUGAAUGGAAGUUUUAAGAAUAAGUUGCGCAACGAUUUGGAGAAAAUUUUCCAUUUACUAUUUUAAUCUACAAUAAUUUUUGUUAUAUGGCUCAUGGAUUCUUAUAUUCUCUAGUCUAAUCAAAUACAUCUCAUCACCAAUUUUAUGGUUUUCAAUCAUUGCAAUCAUGCCUUGGUUCUACUCCCAUGUUUUUUUGAAAUCAUGUGAAUCAUGGAGGCCUUGAAUAUAGUCGUUCGAGACAGCUUUAAGUAGGUAUGAAAAUUAUUAGAUUGUAGAUAUGAAAUAGUCUAGAGUUAAAUUUUGCCAUAUUUUCUUAGAUCAUGGAUCUGUUAUAAAAAUGUUAGUGGAUACUUUAUUCUUAGAUUUCUCAACCUGACUAGAUCAUAAUCUAAAAAAUCGUGAUAGAGGACUAAAACAUGAAUUAAUUGCUAGUGACGUAUGAAAAUAUGUUUUCUUAUCAUAUACACAUGACCAUGUCAUAUCUAAAUACUUAUCUAAAGAAAGUCAUAUCUAUCCGCAUAUACAUAUGGUUUCCAGUCAUACCAUAGUCAGUAGCAGAGGAUGAUACAUAUAUACAUGUAACAUAGUAUAACGCACAUGCAUGGCACGCAAGCAAGUCGAGGAAGGCAUGGACGUUUCGGGAAACAACCUAGAGGUUGGACCACAUCAUGCAAGAGGCGCCGUACCGAUGUACCCGCGUGUCAUGAUCCACCAAGAUGCCACGGAUCUCGUGGAUCAGUGUGUCAAGGAUUUCAUGGGGAUUUUCGCCAUGGAGACCCACGAGGAGCGUAGGAAGGAGAACCAGACAAAGAUGAGCGGCCUCCAAGUGACCAAAGCCAUGGACAAGCUCGGCUUCAACAACUACGUCGGCCCCUCACUGGGUACACACACCCCCUUAUCGUGAAGCUACGUGCUACGUGGGACGUGGCAACAAGCGAGCCAUGGCAUGCCAGCCGUCUGCAAUGGGGCAUAUGGCGCCACAGCCAUCCGACUCCACAUGGGGUCCACUGCCAUACAACAACAUGGCACAAGGAAAGUUGUCGGCGGUUGAUGUGACAAUGACAACAAAGGGCAAGGUACCACAUCCACUCAUUUUUGUGUUGGCUGUAAGGUCGUCGUACGGUGUACGGUGUAAGCUUGGGCGUCGAUGGCCGUUGUAAAGACAAUGACGGUGAGAGGGGUGGAACCAACACCACUAUGGUUGUUUGGCUUUAUGUUGGGUUAGCCACCUCUACUGUCUGAACACACACACCGCAGACACGAUUGUGUGGAGGUGGUUGAGCCAACACAAAGUCAAACAGCUAGUGGUGCUAGUUACAUCUCCCAUGUCGUCGUCACAGUGACCGACAGAGCCUGACCAUGCACCAUGACGUCGUACGACGGCGAUACACCCAACACAAAGAUGGGUGAUUGUGGUGGUGGCGUCUCCUCCGUUGUCGUCGUCACAUCGGCCACUAGCAACUGACCUUGCACCAUGAUGUCGUAUGAUGGUGGACCCAAUGCAGAGUCGAACGGCUGUGACAACGUCUGCACCAUUGCAGCUGGAUGCUACACCAUGGCUCACUUGUUUCCAUGUCCCGCGAAGCUCGUAGCCUCGCGAUACAGGUAGAGGUACUCAGUGAGGGGCCUUACAUAGUUGUUGAAGCCGAGCUUGUCCAUAUCUUUGAGCACUUGGAGGCCGCUCAUUUUCGUCUUGUUCUCCUUCCUGCGCUCCUCGUGGGCCACUAUGGCGGCAAUCACCAUGAAAUACUUGACACACUGGUCCACGAGGUCCAAGGUGUCUUGGUGGAUCAUAGUGCGAGGGUAAGAGGCAGUCCACCUAGCAUGAUGUGGUACAUCCUCCAACUUGCUGACCGAAAUGCUGAUGCCUUCCUCGACUUGCUUGCGUGUCAUGCAUGUGCGGUAUACUAUGUUACACGUAUAUAUGUAUUGUUCUCUACUACUGUAGACUAUGGUAUGACCCGAAAUCAUAUGUAUAUGCAUAUCAAUACAAAUUUUUCUUGAGGUAAGUAUGUAGAUAUGACAUGUAUAUAUGGUGGAAAAAAUAUUUGCAUACAUCACUGGCAAUUAACUCAUGUUUUAAUUUCCUAUCCUGAUUGUUUAGAUACUGUCGGAGUAAAUGGCCACGGGUAGCCUAACCGACUACCCCUGGCUCUUCAGAAAAUUUAUCAGGCCUUUGGGCCUUCAAGCACUCCAAGCAUUUGGGCCGCCUUCCCCAGCCGGCUACCACUAAAGCCGACUCCCGGAAGGCGACCCAGCCUCACCGACUCCAAGAAGCCGGCCAAGAAGGAUGCCGACUCCUAGAAGCCGGCCAAGACCACAACCACUCCUACAUAACGGCAACGUGACGGGGUGUGGCCACAGUGCGGCCCACGACCCCCAAAGCCCGAUGCGGGCAUGGCUACAGGAGGCCGUACGGGAGGGACGUCUCCCAUGCGGCUCGGCACUGUAGCCACGCUAGCCUCGACGUCAUCCACGACCCACUCCUGUACGGCCCAAGGGUUGCGGGCCCCUUCAGCCAGAGAGAGGCGUGAAGGCGGCCCGGCCUUUCCUAGUCGGCCAGGAGCAUAGCCGGCCUCCAGAAGCCGGCCACUCCCUUCCUCGAAGCAGGAGCCCCAUUAAGGAGACAAGACGAGGUGAGGCUACAGUGAUAGCCCCCGAGGCGGCCCACUGUAGACACGCUCACCUCGACAAAGCCCUCAUCAUCAGAGGCGCGGCUACAGUAAGCAGCCGCCGCCAAGACCCUAGGCGGUGGGACCGGCCUGUCGACCAAGUAGCCGGCAGCCGGCGGGACCCAGCAGCCGGCGGAGAAGCCGGCGAGCGUAGACACUGACGGCUGGGACCAGAUCCCAGUCGGAUUACCAUUGUAUCCCCGGGGGGUAGGCCUAUAUAAACCCCCCGAAGCACCCAUGCAAAGGGUUCGCUUCUGGGUUGGCCUCUGAGCAUAGUUGGCUUCUAGGUUAACACCCACGCAUAGCACACACACCAUAGAUAGAGAGAAGCAAGAGCUAGCCUUGUUCUUCUUCUCCCUUGAUCUCAACAGCUCUAGGAGCGAUUGUAGCUAUCCCUUAUCGAUCUAGUGAUCAUGCGGAGACCCCGCAGAGCAGGACUAGGGGUGUUAUCUCCUCAGAGAGCCCCGAACCUGGGUAAGAUUCGCUGGCGUGCAUGUCUUCGCCUCAUCCCGUUUCCGGGCACCGGCGACGUUUUAUUGGCUCCCACAAUGAUAAGCCAUCCCUUGGCAUAUGUCGCACCAACCACCCGACAUUUGGCGCCCACCAUGGGGCCAGGUGCACCGUCGUCCGGAGACCUGUUCUGGACGGGAACCCUCUUCCUUUCCCGCGAGCGCAGCCAGCCUGCUGCGCCCGAUGGCGUUUGCCCCGACGCGCUACAAGGCGUCGACGACGCCUGCGCAGCGAGCCGCCUCGCCGAUCUGCUUGGCGAGACUCGCAUCUCCGACGAGCCUGCGUCCGACGCAGGCACCGACUACCCCGAGAGCCGCCUCGUCAGCCUCCUCGACCAGCUUCACGUCUCCAGCGAGCCUGCUGCAGAUGUGAAGUCGGUCGGCUCCACCGAUCCGAUGCUCAUCGACUCCGACACCGCGUCGCUUGAUGCCUACCCCUCCGACGUGGUGGUCUUCGACGACCCCCUCCCUCGAGCUGACAUCGGCAGCAGCGCUGUCACCGAAGUGCUGGUCAUCAACCACGUCUCCAACUCGGGCGAGAAUGCCCGCGACGCUCAGCAAGCGGCGAUGCACGACCUCUCCGUCCCCAUCCCGGCCGACGCCGACGCCGAGACCCUGGAGGCACGCCGCCUUGCCCUCAUCGCGGAGGGCCAGAAGAUAGCCUCGAUGAGACGCCUCACCGAGGCCCACCAGCGCGAAGUCGACCGCGCCGCUUUCGGUACGCCACCGCCUAGCGGCCCGAGCCGAGCCGGCUUCGUCCAGAAGCGCGGCGCGGCCGUUGCCAGCAUGCUGGGCGCAGAUCGCCCCGUCUACGCCACCCCGCUCGAGAAUCUGCGAGCCGCUCAGGCGGCUGCAGAGGAGCUCAAUGGGCUGGGAGCCGAUGAGCUCCCCUACAUGACAAGACGGAUCCAGCAGCUGAUCGACGGGGCUGCAGAACGGCACGAAGCCGGCGCCCGUGCUGAUAGUCAUCCCCCGCGCCGGGAGCACGCAGCGACGUCUCGCUCGCCGACUGUGAGCGACGCGCGCCAGAAGAAAGACAAGGAGCCGGCUGCCAGCCGCAGCCGGACUCGCAUCACUAUCGAGCGCGACGCGGAUGGCCGCCCUCAGGCGGUUGAACACCAAGGAAACCUGCCUCCUCCCCCGCCUCAAAGAGAAAGACGCCUCACUCCGCCGUCCAUCACACAUCCGACUCUUGGCGACCGACUCGGCCGCCGAGAAGGAGUCGGCGAGAGUGACGCCCGCCACAGGAUCGACCGCCUUGCUCGAUCCUUGGCGUUAGAAGAAGAAGACGAUGUCGGCCCGCCAUGCUUUGGCCCCCGCAUCCGCGACGAGCCCUUCCCCAAAGGGUUCUCGCUCCCCCGAGACACACCUAAGUACAACGACUCGGUGAAGCCGGAAGAUUGGCUCAUCGACUACUCCACAGCCGUCAGCAUCGCCAACGGCAAUCGGCGCGUCGCCGUGAAGUAUGUCCCCUUGAUGCUGCAAGGCACGGCGCGCACAUGGCUCAACAGCCUCAAGCCCUACAGCAUCAACAGCUGGCUGGACUUCACCGAAGUUUUCGUCCGCAACUUCACCAGCACCUACAAGCGGCCUCCCAAGCCUCGCCAGCUCUCCCUCUGCGUCCAAGGGCCCAACGAGUCGACCCGCGACUACCUCACGCGAUGGGCCGAGCUCCGCAACUCCUGCGAGGGAGUGCACGAGGUCCAAGCCAUCGAGUAUUUCACCGUCGGGUGCCGAGAGGGCACCCUCCUCAAGCACCGACUCCUCUGCGACGAGCCGGCUACCCUCGAUGAGUUGCUGAUCACCGCCGACAAGUAUGCCACUGCCGACUCACUCCAUGAAGACCGAGCUCCGAGUGGACGCCUCGGGGAAAGUAGUUGCUCCAGCUCCCAAGACGCCGGCUGGCGACCCUAACCGGCGCCCCUACCAGAACGACCACAAGCGCAAGGGCCCCAUGCCGACUUCCUCCAGUCGGCAGGUGGCCACCAUUGAAGACGAGCAGCCCGAGGAGCGGCCCGCUCCCAAGAAGAAGGGUGGUCGGCCGCCCUGGCAGCCGUCCUUCUCCUACGAACAAGCACUCGAUGCUCCCUGCAAGUUCCACAGCGGCGCGAAGCCGUCCAACCAUACAACACGGAAAUGCCACUGGCUCACCCGCAUCACCAAGGGCGAAGGGAUGGUGCCGCCUCCGCCUCCCGGCCCGCCGCCUCCAGCUCCCCAGCAGCCGGCGGCCCGGCCGGCAGUCGGCGGCCCGGCCGACAGUCGGCGCCAUCCAAGACGAGUUCCCCGAAGCGCACGACGCCUAUGUCGUCUUCACAAGUCAAGUCGACGACAAGCGCAGCCGACGCCGGCAGCACCAAGAAGUAAACGCAGUCGCCUCUAGCACCGCCGAGUUCAUGCACUGGUCGGAAAAGCCCAUCAGCUGGAGCCAGGUUGACCACCCAGAGGUGAUGCCGCCUGGCUCCUAUGCUAUGGUCUUGGACGUCACCCUUGCGACGGAGAGGCGAGCUGCCAGAUUUUCCCGCGUCCUGAUAGACGGCGGAAGCAGUAUCAACAUACUGUACCGCGAUACCAUGGACAAGCUAAACAUCAAAGCAAAGCAGCUCAUGCCGAGCCGCACCGUCUUCCAUGGUAUCGUACCCGGCCUAUCUUGCUCUCCAAUCGGCAAGAUCAAAAUGGAUGUUCUCUUCGGAGACAAAGAUCACUUUCGCCGGGAAGCAAUAUGGUUCGAGGUGGUAGAUUUGAAGAGCCCCUAUCAUGCACUACUUGGCCGACCUGCUUUGGCCAAGUUCAUGGCUGUGCCCCACUAUGCCUACCUGAAGAUGAAGAUGCCUAGCUCGAAGGGGAUCAUCACGGUAGCCGGCGACUACAAGAAGUCCACCGAGUGUGCCAUGGCCAGCAGCCGGCUGGCCGAGUCCCUCGUGGUGGCAGAAGAGAAGAAGAUGUUGGAACGGGUUGUGGCCAUGGCCGGCAAGCAGCCGGCCUUGUCCCCCAGCCCCAAGGACUGUGAUGCGCAGGGCUCCUUCCAGCCUGCCAAAGAGACGAAGAAGAUACCUCUAGACCCGGAGCACCCGGAGAGGUUCGCCGUGAUUGGGGCAAACUUGGACAGUAAAUAGGAAGGCGAGCUCGCCGACUUCCUCCGUGAGAAUCGAGACAUCUUUGCAUGGUCCCCAAAGGACAUGCCGGGUGUCCCGAAGGAUUUCGCCGAGCACAAAUUACAUGUCCGAGCUGAUGCGAAGCCGGUCAGGCAACCCCUCCGCCGACUAUCAGAAGAGAAGCGAAGAAUCGUGGGAGAAGAGAUAGCCCGGCUCCUUGCAGCCGGCUUCAUCAUGGAAGUGUUCUUUCCAGAAUGGCUUGCCAAUCCAGUUCUGGUUUUGAAGAAGAAUAACAAGUGGCGCAUGUGUAUAGACUACACAAGUUUGAACAAGGCCUGCCCAAAGGAUCCGUUUGCUUUGCCACGGAUUGACCAAGUGAUAGACUCCACAGCCGGAUGCGAGCUGUUAAGUUUUUUGGAUGCAUACUCAGGGUAUCAUCAGAUCAAGUUGGACCCGGCUGACCGCCUGAAGACUGCCUUCAUCACACCCUUUGGAGCUUUCUGCUACCUGACGAUGACAUUCGGCUUGAGAAACGCCGGUGCCACUUUUCAGCGUUGCAUGCAGAAAUGUCUCUUGAAACAACUCGGCAGAAAUGCCCACGUCUACGUAGACGACAUUGUGGUGAAGACAGAGAAGCGCGGUACCUUGCUGGAAGACCUGAAGGAAAUAUUUGCCAACUUGCGCCGAUUCCAGAUCAAGCUCAACCCCGAGAAGUGCGUGUUCGGAGUGCCAGCCGGCCAGCUGCUAGGCUUCCUGGUCUCCGAACGCGGCAUUGAGUGCAACCCUGUCAAGAUCAAAGCCAUCGAGAGGAUGGAGAUUCCCACCAAGCUGCGAGAUGUGCAGAAGUUCACUGGCUGCUUAGCCUCCCUGAACCGUUUUAUCAGCCGACUAGGAGAGAAGGCUCUCCCCCUGUACCGACUCAUGAAGAAGUCCACUCACUUUGAGUGGAAUGAUCAAGCCGACCAAGCCUUCCAUGAGUUGAAGAAAACGUUGACCACUCCGCCUGUCCUGGCUGCGCCGACUGAGAAGGAGCCCAUGCUCCUCUACAUCGCCGCGACAAGCCGAGUCGUCAGCACUGUUGUUGUGGUCCAGCGCCCGGAAGAAGGCCGAGCCCAGCUGGUCUAGAGGUCGGUCUACUAUCUCAGCAAAGUACUGUCCAGCUCAAAGCAAAACUACCCGCACUACCAGAAGAUGUGCUAUGGGGUGUACUUCGCUGCCAAGAAAUUGAAGCCCUACUUCCAAGAGCACCCCAUCACGGUCGUGUGCACUGCCCCGCUCACCGAGAUCAUAGGCAGCCGGGAUGCAUCCAGCCGGGUGGCCAAAUGGGCCAUUGCCUUGGCGCCCUACACGAUUUUCUAUCAACCCCGCACCGCCAUCAAGUCGCAAGCAUUGGCCGACUUCCUCGUCGACUGGGCCGAGACCCAGUACUUACCGCCGGCUCCCGACUCUACCCAUUGGCGGAUGCACUUUGACGGGUCCAAGAUGCGCACCGGCUUGGGAGCCGGCAUCGUUCUCACCUCUCCCAAAGGUGACAAACUCAAGUACACGCUGCAGAUCCACUUCGCCGCCUCCAACAACGUGGCCGAGUACGAGGCGCUCGUACAUGGGCUCCGGCUAGCCGAAGAACUCGGCAUACGCCGGAUCCUGUGCUACGGCGACUCAGACUUGGUGGUCCAGCAAUCAUCUGGCGACUGGGACGCCAAGGAAGCAAACAUGGCAAGCUACCGUUUCCUCGUCCAGCAGAUGAGCGGAUACUUCGAAGGGUGCGAGUUCCUUCACGUGCCAAGGGCCGACAACGACCAAGCAGAUGCCCUAGCACGGAUCGGCUCCACCCGACAAGCCAUACCGACUGGCGUCUCCCUCCAGCGCCUCCUCAAGCCGUCCAUCAAGCCGUCUCCAGAGUCGGAUUCCAUCUUCGUACCACCUGCGCCAGAAACAGCCGGAUCCGGCUCAAGAAAUCCCGCAGGCAGCACGGGGACUUUGACGACUGCCCCGGGGACUGACGUAGUCGCACCCGGCCCAGGGACUUCAGAACCCGGCCCGGGGACUGCAGCAGUCGGCCCAGGGACUGCAACGACACAAGAAGCGGUGGUCGACUCCAAUGCAACACCCAACCCACCCACCCGAGUCAUGGUGGCCACAUUAACAGCAGAAGAAGUCACAGCUCCCUCAUGGGCCCAGCCCAUCCUCAAGUUCCUAGUCAGCAGAGAGCUGCCGGCUGAUGAGAUCGCAGCAAGACUAGUGCAACGACGAGCCGCAGCAUACACAAUAAUCAACAGGAAGCUUGUGAAGCGCAGCGUCACUGGAGUCUUCCAGCGUUGCGUCGAGCCAGAAAAAGGAGUGGCAAUCCUCAAAGACAUCCACCAAGGCGAAUGCGGCCACCACGCCGCCUCAAGAUCCCUCGUGGCCAAGGCUUUCCGCUAUGGGUUCUUCUGGCCGACUGCCUUGGAGGAUGCCAAAGAAAUAGUCAAGAGCUGCAGAGGAUGUCAAGUCUUCAGUUCCAAACAACACCUGCCGGCUUCUGCCCUCAAGACCAUUCCCCUCACCUGGCCUUUUGUCGUCUGGGGACUGGACAUGGUGGGCCCUUUCAAGACAGCCCGCGGUGGCCUGACACAUCUACUUGUUGCUGUGGACAAGUUCACAAAGUGGAUUGAAGCAAAGCCAAUCAAGAAGCUCAAUGGGCCGACUGCCGUGACAUUCAUCACCGACAUCACUACUCGGUACGGCGUGCCGCACAGCAUCAUCACCGACAACGGCACGAACUUCGCCAAAGGCGCACUGGCACGUUUCUGCGCGACGCAGGGCAUCCGACUGGACUUAGCGUCCGUUGCCCACCCGCAGUCAAACGGCCAGGUCGAGCGAGCAAAUGGACUUAUCCUCUCCGGCAUCAAGCCCCGACUGGUUGUACCACUGGAGCGAUCGGCCGGCUGCUGGCUCGAAGAGCUGCCGGCUGUCCUCUGGAGUCUGCGCACUACACCCAACAAGUCAACCGGCUUCACUCCAUUCUUCCUUGUGUACGGUGCCGAGGCUGUCGUCCCAACAGACAUCGAGUUCGACUCGCCUCGGGUCACCAUGUACACGGAGGAGGAAGCCAAAGAAGCUAGAGAAGACGGCGUCGACCUACUGGAAGAAGGCCGGCUGUUAGCCCUCAGCCGGUCCGCCAUCUACCAGCAAGGCCUGCGCCGCUACUACAACCGCAAGGUCAAGCCAAGAUCCUUCCAAGAGGGCGACCUUGUGCUCCGGCUGAUCCAGCGAACAGCCGGCCAGCACAAGCUCUCGGCCCCUUGGGAAUGCCCCUUCGUCGUCAGCAAAGCACUCGGCAACGACUCCUACUACUUGAUCGACGCGCAAAAGCCAAGAGCACGCAAGAGAGACGACUCCGGCAAGGAGUCGGAGCGACCAUGGAACGCAAACCUCCUAAGACGAUUUUACGGCUGAAAAGCAGUAUGUAUCACGCUACCCCUUUUUGUAUUAAGUACAAACCAACAGGCCCCCCGAACAGUACUCGGGGACUGCCUUUUAUUUAUCUAUGAAUGACGAGUAUCAUGUCCAUGAAUGUGUUAUUACAUUUUGAAUUCUUGUCCGGCACCGGGUCCGACUAGUCGGCCCGGGGACUGGCCGCCUUGAGCUAUAUCGAAAGUCCUUCCUAAAGUCAGCAAAGUAGUGCGCCGGCUCCCGAGUCCUCCCUUGUUGAAAGUCGCAGCUCAAAGAACUGACUGUCCGACUAGCAAGAGGAAAGACAGAAAGGAUGCCCACACGAAAAACGGCUAAGGAACAACUAACCUAUAUAGCAAAGAGACGGCCUCCAUAUAUGCCUGCCGGCUGUCAAAGCAGCCGGCUGGCCGGCUUCCUAGAAAACUUAGCUUAAGUCCGGCAAAGCUAAAAGUACUUCCCCCUCCCCAAUCGGCUAGGCACCCCCCGGCUACAGAUUGCAGAGCAACUGUUUGACUGGGGAGGCGGCAACCAAGGGAGGGCGGCAAAGGAAAAAAGCAGAAGGACAAAAAGCGAAAGUGCAAGGAAAGACCGAUUGCAUAACUUAUAUACAUAUAAGCCGCCCACAGGCCGGCAACAGACUUAAGUUUGAAUACACCCAGUGGGUGGAAUUGUGCAGACUUAACCAAACAUUGUUCAAAAGUAACAAGACAGGAAAACAAAAGAAAGAAGACUAAGGCGCGACUUGGAGGCCGAGCUAGUCGGUGAAGGCAGCUCGCCGGCUGAAGGAGUGGCCGCCUAGCUGGUUCCGGCUUGACCACCUCCCGCGGCAGGAGACGCACUCGCACGCGACGUAGUGCUGGAGGCGCGGUCAGGCUGGCCGGCUACUCCACCAGCCGGCUCGGCGUCUUCACCUUCCUCCUCCUCCUCUUCGCCCUCGUUGCUAGAGUUGAUCUCCUCCGCCGAGUCCUUGCCGUACGCCGGGUCCAGCCCGAACCAAUCUUCCGGCUGGGCGACUCCAUUGUCGUCCACCUCGGGGGCGAAGACGUUGGUGUCGGUGUAGUCGGCGAUCGCUGAAGCCCGCCGAAUGAUGGCCGGCCGCGCCGGCUCCAGCUCCGUGUCGGCUUGCUGCCGCCAGGUCGACAGCUGGUCCAGGUUCAGGCCGGGAUACCAGGCCUUGACGAACUCCAGCGCCCGCCUUGCGCCGGAGCGAGCCGCUGACGCCUUCCAAGCCUCGAAGCGGCCGACUGCCACCUCCAGCCAGUCGGCGGUCCGACUGGGGGUGCGAGGGACCACUUGGCCGGGCCAGAGGGCGGCCAAGACCUGCGAUCCCGCGCGCUGAAGCCGGCGGAGCAGCCUGUGAGCCGGCUGGAUGCGAGCCUGGAUCGCCAGGAGCUGUUCCUCCAGCGAGCGGCCGGCGGUUGGCGAGAUCUCGAAGCCGGCUUGCCUCUUCGCCUGGCGACGGGCUUCGAUGGCCUGGUUGGCGGCAGUGGAAUAGCCGGGAAAGUACUCUGCGCGAAGAAGAAAAGGAAAGAAAAGCACCAAAAUCAGAAAAACAAGCCGAAGUGGCAGAUGGCAAGAAAGGAUGAAGGGGUAGACGACUUACCGUCAACCAGGUCCUCAAUCUGGCCAUAGCCGGAGACCAGAGUCUGCCUGGCCUCUGCCCAGCCGGCCGCCUCCGUCUUGAACUCGGCCUGGAGGGUGGCUUCGCGAUCCUGCGCAGCCUUCAGCGCAGCCUUGUGGCCUUCCUCCUGGUCGGCCAGCUUCUUGACCAGGCGGUCGCGCUCCUGCACCAAGGCGGCGAGCUCUGCGUCCUUGGCACGAAGAGCAGUCUGGGACUCCCCCAGCUGUGCCCUCAGACUGGCGUUGGCCGCUGCAGAGAUAGAAGAAGAAGAAGAACAAUGAGAAAUCAUCAAGGAAGAUCCGAGCCGACUGCUCAGCAGUCGGCCCGAAUCUCGGGGACUACACCCAGUGGGUGCGCUGACGCGCCCCCACAUGGGAUAAAGAUCAAGUCACAUACCUCGGCUUUCAGUGAGAUCGGCGGUCUUCUGAGUCAGCUCCCGAGCCUGGGAGUUGAAGGCGGCCGCUCGGAGGUUGUGGUAGUCCUGCAAGACGGACAGAAGACCGAAGUGAGAACAAAAGCAGCAAAGACAAAAUCUCCAAGAAGUUCCAAGCCGCCUGCUCAGCAGCCGACUCAGAACUCGGGGACUACAUCCAAUGGGUGCGCUGACGCGCCCCCACGAGAGAAAUCAAGAUCAAGAAGAGAAGUCAAGACCAAGAAAGAACAAGAUGAGAAUACUAACCCGGAUGGCUGCCCGCGUGGCGAGGAAUUCGUCGGUGAACUGCCUCAGCGCCGCGGCUUGGCUUUGCAGCCGGGUCCGGACGUCUUGUGCAGCGACGUUCACCACGGCUGUCCCUCCGCCCGGCGUCCACCCCGAGGUAGCGCUGGCCGCCUCCGCGUCUCGGGCCGACGAGCUGGAGCCCACGGCCGGCUGUGGCUCCGACGCAGCUUUCUGCGGUUCAGACGCGGCCUUCCCUGCACGCCGGCUUGGCGGAACCCGGACAGCCACCUCAGCCCCCGCGGCCGGCUCGCCCUCCGCCGACUGUGCGGGCGCAGGCUCAGGCUGGCGGCCUUGGGUCGCCCUAGUCGGAGGAGUCGGCCCCGGCGCCUCCCCCAAGAUGACGACGUCGUCGCCGCUUCCUCCCAGCCCCGGCUGGGAACCGCUGGCUCCCCCUGGCGAGGGAUCCACGUCCCCGGGCGCCAUGGUGCGCAGGGGGGUGACCAUCAAAGCCUCCCCUGCCGCCGCUUCGGCCUCGGCCUCUGCCUGGGCCUUGGCUGCGGCCUCGGCGAGCGCCUUCGCCGCCUCCUCCUCCCGAGCUGCCUGGGCGGCGGCUGCCCUCCGUGCCUCCACCUCCCGCGCUUCCUGCUCCUCCCGCGCCUCCCGCGCGUUCCUUUCCGUCGCCUCCAGGAGGGCGGCGCGGGGAUCUACGCGGCGGGUGGUGCUCCCAGAGCCCCCUGGCGACUCGACGACGGAGCCGGCGGCCGCCCGCUCAAGUGAUAGCGGAGCUCUGACCAUUGAAAAAGAAGACGAGGAUUCAAGAACCACCAAAGGAAAGGAAGAAGGACAGUACGUAGAAAGAGAGAACUUACGCUGACACAGUCUGCGGCUGCUUCACCACUUUGCGGAAGCGAGCCGCCUUCGCGGCCGCCUCUUCCCGCCUGGUGGCUGCCGCCCCACCCCUGGGCAUCUUCGUCCGGCUACCGAACAUGCCCUGGGUGGCGCGACGUUUCUGGCCUCUACCCCGAGCAGGCUGCGCGCCGGAGGAGCCCGCGCCGCGUCCGGACGCCGGCUGGCGAUGCGGGACGGCUUCGGCUUCGUCCUCGUCCGGCCAGUCGUCGAAGGUAGUGGUGAACCCGGAGCCGCCUGCUUCGCCGCCGGCCGGCUCGGCGGCAUCCUCCAUAUGGACCGCCCCCAGGUCGGGGUCCUCCUGGUCGUGUUCGGUCCGGUCGGGGACGAAGCGGCGCUCCACGUCUGCCCCGCCGGCCGGCCGGAGCAGAGGACUCUGUCAAAAGAGCAAGCCGACUGAGUUAAUGUCAGCCCAGAGGAACUCGGCGACAAAGCUGAGGGAGAGAGAGAAAAAGAGACGAGGGGAGCGUACCGUAGGCGGAGGAUUGGCGCGGCUGUAUGGCUCCUUGCCGAAUUGCCAGUCUUCGGAAAGCUGGCAGUUGGCGAGGUAAUUCACCAUGUCGGCGGCGUCGGGCUGCGGCAUCUCCAUGGUGCACAUCCGGCUCGGAUCGAGCUGGCCGCUCAUCUGACAGAUCAGAUGAGGCCGGCUCUGGAGCGGAAGGACCCGGCGCGUGACGAACGCGGCCAGGAGGUCGGGCCCCGUCAGGCCCUCCGACUGGACCAUCACCCGCAGGCGGGCGAUGGCGGCGUUUCCUCCCUGUGACAGCGUCACGGCCCGGAAGGACCACUCGGGCAGCCUGCCCGCCGGUGGGCCGGCUACGUAGGCCGGCAGGUUGAGGUAGUCGCCCCGGGGAGCGAUACUCCGCACGUAGAAGUAUGACUUCUGCCACUUCUUCACCGAUUGGAUCAGCGUGAUGACGGGGAAGGGGUUGUCGGCGCCUGAUCUCCGCGACGCGAUGAAGGCGCCGGUCUGAGCCGGCACGCCCCGCACGCGCGUGCCCAGCUUUGACUGGAAGAACUCCCCCCAGAGCUCGAGGGUGGGGAGGACGCCAAGAUAGCCCUCGCACAGGGUGACGAAGGCCGACAGCAGCACCACCGCGUUGGGGGUGAGGUGGUGCGGCUGGAGCUGAUAGAAUUCCAGCCAGGAGCGGAAGAAGGCGCUCACUGGCAGGCCGAAGCCGCGCAGGAAGUGCGAGCGGAAGACCACCCGCUCGCCCUCCCGCGGCGCCGGCCUGACUUCCUUCUCCGGCGCAAGGCGGACCUCCACUUUGUCCGCGCUGGGCAGACGUCGGGUGUCGCGGAGGAAGUCGAUGUGGUCGUUAUGGACGAUGGAGCCAUCCCAAUCCCCGCCAAGCUGCUCUACGUGAGGAGGCAUAGCGGAAGCUAGCACGGCGGCGGAGGAGCGUGCGGAGGAAGAGCGCGGCGGCGAGGCGUUGUCGCGAGAACGAGCAAGGCAAGAAGACGGUGGAAGUAGGAGGAGCGUGCGAGGGCCUGCCGCCCUCCACCUCCCCCUACUUAUAGCCUCACGCGGCCGAAGAGGCCGGACAUGGGGGGAGACGUGGGAUUAACUGUGCCCACUCCCCCCACGUCUCGCGUUUAUUACGCAUAAGUGCGAGCCGAAACUGCCGCACGGAACGUGCGGGCGGUUUCGGGAUACAAAAGAUCCGCGCCGGGGCCGGGGCGCGGACGUGGCGGGCCCCCUCCCUGCGGCGACGUCCCGUCGCGCGCGUGGGCUGGCAGGCUUUCCGGCCACGUGGCACGCCAACGGCCCGAGGCCGGCCCGCGGCCCGGUGCACGUACCUGCGGGUUCCCGCCCCCCGACUCCAGAAGAAUUCGACUAAGGCGGCACGCCUGACCAAGGCCGGCUCCCAGCUGCCGGCUUGUCAUGAUAGGAAGCUGAUCGAGCUUCUCGAACUCCACUCCACCUCGAAGCCCAAUCAGCUUCGGGGACUACUGUCGGAGUAAAUGGCCACGGGUAGCCUAACCGACUACCCCUGGCUCUUCAGAAAAUUUAUCAGGCCUUUGGGCCUUCAAGCACUCCAAGCAUUUGGGCCGCCUUCCCCGGCCGGCUACCACUAAAGCCGACUUCCGGAAGGCGACCCAGCCUCACCGACUCCAAGAAGCCGACCAAGAAGGAUGCCGACUUCUAGAAGCCGGCCAAGACCACAACCACUCCUACAUAACGGCGACGUGACGGGGUGUGGCCACAGUGCGGCCCACGACCCCCGAAGCCCGAUGCGGGCAUGGCUACAGGAGGCCGUACGGGAGGGACGUCUCCCGUGCGGCUCGGCACUGUAGCCACGCUAGCCUCGACGUCAUCCACGACCCACUCCUGUACGGCCCAAGGGUUGCGGGCCCCUUCAGCCAGAGAGAGGCGUGAAGGCGGCCCGGCCUUUCCUAGUCGGCCAGGAGCAUAGCCGGCCUCCAGAAGCCGGCCACUCCCUUCCUCGAAGCAGGAGCCCCAUUAAGGAGACAAGACGAGGUGAGGCUACAGUGAUAGCCCCCGAGGCGGCCCACUGUAGCCACGCUCACCUCGACAAAGCCCUCAUCAUCAGAGGCGCGGCUACAGUAAGCAGCCGCCGACAAGACCCUAGGCGGUGGGACCGGCCUGUCGACCAAGUAGCCGGCAGCCGGCGGGACCCAGCAGCCGGCGAAGAAGCCGGCGAGCGUAGACACUGACGGCUGGGACCAGAUCCCAGUCGGAUUACCAUUGUACCCCCGGGGGGUAGGCCUAUAUAAACCCCCCGGAGCACCCAUGCAAAGGGUUCGCUUCUGGGUUGGCCUCUGAGCAUAGUUGGCUUCUAGGUUAACACCCACGCAUAGCACACACACCAUAGAUAGAGAGAAGCAAGAGCUAGCCUUGUUCUUCUUCUCCCUUGAUCUCAAUAGCUCUAGGAGCGAUUGUAGCUACCCCUUAUCGAUCUAGUGAUCAUGCGGAGACCCCGCAGAGCAGGACUAGGGGUGUUAUCUCCUCGGAGAGCCCCGAACCUGGGUAAGAUUCGCCGGCGUGCAUGUCUUCGCCUCAUCCCGUUUCCGGGCACCGGCGAUGUUUUAUUGGCUCCCACAAUGAUAAGCCAUCCCUUGGCAUAUGUCGCACCAACCACCCGACAGAUACACUAUCUAACCAGGUUGAGAGAUCUAAGAAUAAAAUAUCCAACAACAUUUUAUAACAGAUAUGUGAUCUAAGAAAAUCUAGCAAAAUUUAACUCUAUACUGUUUCAUACCUGCAAUCUAAAAAGUCUCAUACCAACUCAAAGUGGCCACGAACGACUAUAUGCAUGGUUUCCAUGAUUCACAAGAUUUCAUAAAAAAGAUGGGAGUAGAACUAAGGCAUGAUGGCAAUGAUUGAAGACCAUAAAAAUUGGUGAUGAGAUGUAUUUGAUUACACUAGAGAAUAUACGAAUCCACGAGCCAUAUAAUGAAAAAUAUUGUAUAUUAAAAUCAUAAAUGGGGAUUUUUCUCUAGAAUCGUUGUGCAACUUAUUUUUAAAACUUCUAUUUGUAUAAGUAUAACGAAUUAUUCUAGAUUAGAAUUGUAAAAUGAUAAUUAUUUGAAACAAAGAGGAUCUUAAAUUGCGGAGGAAACAACAAAGGAUGAGUCGAUAUUUGAAAUAACUUCUUCAUCGAUAUUCACGGAUUAGUAAUAUAUUUGAACAACACAACUGCAAAAACCAAAAACUUCAUACAGAUGAUCUAAAGAAUCAACUAAUUUUAUCUAGCUAGUUUUACCUUUUCCUACCUUGUUGACACGGUUAUUGGCUUGGAUUCCUUCCGCCUCACCUCCUGUCACUAGGCCUAAGUUGUCCUUAUGGUGGUUGUACAAUGUUCAAUGCAACAAUUUAUACAAAAGAAAACUACCAUGGUCGUGGUCUCAACGAGGAGACAGGUGGCAUGCAAGCGUGAGGGUAGUAUCAAUAUCAAUAUAAAAAACCGAAAAGGGCAGAUCAAACAAAUCUUGGCGAUCAAACCUUAUCAAUCCAACGACCUAUAUUGCUUCAAUAGUGAGCCCUCAACAUGUUUAGUGUGCAAUUAAUGUCAUACUAAAUAUCAAUGUCCACACUAUGUAACUAACAUGUAAUUGGUAACUUAUUUAAUAUCAACAUGCAAUUAAAUUUUCUCCAUAAUUUCAAUGUGUAUUGGAAGUACGCAUUUACUAGUUAUAGUAACAAACACAAUUAAAUCAGUUGGCGAAAUUAAUUGGUACUAUAAAAGGAUACAAAUGCAAUUAAUGCUUACACAUAGAUAAUUUAACAUCAUAACUUCUAUAAACUGUUAGAAUAUUUGGGCUUGGCCAAAUAUAUAAAUCCAAAUAAAUAUAUAUCCUACCACCUAGGGUUAGUUACCCCACAUGUUUCAUAUAUUACCAUGUGGUACUAUAUAUACUAAUUUAUAAUUCUAAAUAUGUUUAUGUACUAUAUCUAAGAUAUUUCAAAUAAAAUUAGAUGAAAAAUUGCAUAUGAGCCCAUAGUUUUUGUUAUAUUUGUGAAAUACUUUCAUAUUUGUACGUAAAAAGGAGUAUGCUCAAAAUAUGAUAUAUACUACCCAAAAAGUAGUAUAUAUACUACAUACUACACGUACUAGCAUAAUCAGAUUCAUCACAUUUUCUGGUCUAAAACCAUAUGUAAAGUUUUGUGAUCCAAGUUAUGGUUAUUUUGUUAUAUAUAUAUAUGCGAUGCAAAUUUCGUUGUUUUCCUGUAAAAGAAAUGAGCAAUGCUAUCCUAUAAUUAUUAAUAGUUCAGAUUAUAAACGGGCCGAAACUGCAGCAAACUGGGCCUAAACGGAUGGGUGCUGGACAACUAAACAGCGCAUAGGCCGGGGCCUAUCUACCGAGUGCUCUUGGGCCAAGCCCAUGAGGCAGGGCAAGGAGCUGAGGCUCACCUAGUGGGCUUUAGUCGAGCUUGGUGGUGGCUCGAUAUUCGGCUGGCUUGACGGGCAUGCCGGCUGUCGGUGGCGCGGCCCAUGAUCGGGUCAACACGGGGUUGCGCGUGCGCUCAAGGCUGCCCAGGUGUUCGUCGUGUCGGCCUCUGCACGGGACCUCGUCGGCGAUCUUUGGAUCGGCGCCAGGAAGCAGCCUUUGGCGAGGCAUCUAGGCGGGACCGCGCGACACUGGAUCUCGCACAGAUCUGGCCGACGGCGGCAAAGCCAGCUGUUGAUGGCGCGGCGCCAUGGCCUCUCCUGCGAGGAUGGCUGCGGUUGAUCUCCUAGGGAUAGGGACAAAGGAGGUCGCGGUGAGAGAGAGAGAGACGAGAAGGAGGAAGAAGUGGCAGGGCUGUGGAGGAGGUCUUCCCCGUGGCCGGAAGGGCGAGCGCUGCCGGUGGGGAGCCAAGGAAGCUUGGGAGGAGGAUCCAAGUGGUUGGAGGCGAAACGGGCCGCGGGAGGGCCUGCCUCAGGCUCGCAUGGGCUGCUGCUGGUGGUUGGAGGAGGGGACGCUCGGGAGCCACAUCUCAGAUCGGCGGCUCGAAUCGCAUGGGGACUGUGUGGAGGUGAGAGAUGGAGGGGGCUGGUUGGGUUGGUGCGAAAAUUAAGCACGAAGGGGUGGCUGCUUAAAUAGGUAGGCGAAGGAUUUGACGACUACGUUUUUAUUUUUUGAUUGAAACGGGAUGCUGUUUAAUUAGGUAGAUUUUAUUUACUACCCACGGCUGAUAAAUCUUCGAGGCUACGUCAACCGCGGUUAUUUUUGAUUGAAAGGAAUGCUGCUUAAAUAGGUAGAUUUUAUUUAUUGCUCACGACUGAUAAAUCUUCGCGGCUACUCCAGCAUCGGGUUUUUUUAUUGAAAGGGGAUCCUGCUUAAAUAGGUAGAUUUUAUUUAUUGCCCACGGCUGAUAAAUCUUCGAGGCUACGCCAGCAGAGGAGCUAGUUGACUCGCUGACUUAUGGGUUUCAUGUGAUAUUUUCUUCGUUGUUGCUUUCUAUUGCUGGUAUUAGUUUUUGUUUUCUUUUCUUUCUCUGCUAGCUAUUUUUUCCACUGUUUUUUCCAUUUUCAAUGGUUUAUUUUGGUUUUCUCUUCUUUUUUUGUUACUAUUUCGUUCAUAUAAUUUUAAAAAUGUCCAGAAUUUUUAAAUUAUUCACUAUGUCGAAAAAUGGAAUUAAAUUAUUGUUUUACAUUUUCCAGAAAAUUUAGACAAAUUUUUAGUAAAUGUUUUAAAAAAUAAAUUAUUCUGUAUUUUAUUUUAUUCCACGUUUUAGAAAAAUUGGGUGAGAUUCGAACAUUGGCACAAUUUUCUAAAUGUUCACAAAGUAGAAAUGUUGCUCGCAGUUGUAAAAAAUUGUUUGAAAUUUCAAAAUUUUGGUCCAGGUUUUUGAAAAAUUAUUCACUUUUUUGAAAUUUGUUGAUAGUUUUGAAAGUAAAAGCCCAAUCAAAACUGCUUCAGUAUAGUGAAACGGGCUGCGACAAUAGUCGGUCCGCUACAAUGUUUCGUUCACUAUUUCGGUCGCUACUAUAACUUCUUAAUGGGCCGGCCCAUUUGCGCUCGCCCUGUGUGUCUGCUCAUCUGUUUGACGCUUGCGUACGAACAAGUUGUUGCCGAUGGAAUGAGAUUGAUGCGAUAAUAAUAGGGGGCUGAUGGGCGCCGGCGCGCCGGCCCAGCAAUUGGGCCGGUCGAGCCCCUGCCGCCCGAUACAGCGACCCCGCUUCGUCCUCCUUGCAGUCGUUUCACACACCCACCCUCCCCUCCUCUCCGGGAUAAAAAUUGCAACGGCCUCGAGCUCCGCCGACACCUCACCAUACCUACGCGAGAAAAACGGAGCUUGAAGCUACACCGCGGCAUCCUCAUCGUCGGCCGGCACCCUCGCCUGCCGUUGCCAUCUGCAUCUCCUCGCCUCCGGCUCCGCACAUGCAGCAGCUGCAUCCUCUGGUUGCAGCUCCGUGUAGCGAUGGCUGUAGCUCGGUGGUGAUGCAGCACCGUCAUGCCGUCAAGGGCCAUGCCGGGUUGAAGCUUUUUUUCCAUGGGCAUUGAAGCUUUUUUUCAAGGUUGAAGCUUUUCACAGAUCGGUUGAAGCUUUUUCACACAUCGGUGGAAGCUUUUUCCCGUGCCGCUCAAAGGUAUUUUUCGCGGUUGAAGCUUUUAUCCAUAAUUUUUGCUACAAAACGGCACGAGAAGAGCUACAACUAGUGGUCGUUUUUGCUACAACCAGGAAGACGACGAAGUGUGACUGGCGACGACGGGUUGGAGAAAGCUACCAGCGACCGAAUUUGCUGCAACUGGUGUGCGGUGGUGCAACCGGCGUGCGGUGGUGCGACGAGCGGUGACAUGGAUGACCAAGGCGCCUAGGAUUUGCUACCACCGGUGCGCUUUUUUGCUACCACCCUGGUGACCGUGUGCUACGAGCGGUGCAGCGACGGGGAGCUGCUACCUCGACGACGAACGUUGGAACCGGCGUGAUCCAUCACGCAGAUGCUGCAAACGUUGCGGAAAACAGCUUCAACCUUGGUGGAAAAAGCUUCAACCGUCAGAAACAUGAGAUGCUUCCAGCAUGAGACGAAUGGGAGCUGCGAUUGGGGGCGAGGGGGCACACGCAUGGCGGAGGGUGUCGCGGGUCGCGGCCGGAGACGUGUAUGCUGGUGGCGUGGGCGGGGACUGGUUCAUGGUGCCUGGUGGUGCAGGUGCACAUGGCGUCCGUGUUCGUGGGAAAGGAGAUGAGGAAAAAAAACUAUUGGAAAAAGAGUGGCCCCGUUGGUUUUUAGGGGUGCUCCCAUCGCAGGAUCGAGCGAUCGCGAGGCCCACGUGCGUCGGGCGCAACGCUUCGGCCGGCGUCCCGGCAGUAAAACGUUUCCCAUAAUAAUAAUAGAAAAAUAUGAUGAUUAUGGUUACUCUCACCUGUUACACACGCGGACCCCAACUGUCUUAUCGUUUGCCAUGUGCCUGGUUGUUCCGCUCGCGGCGAAGACGGCAUAUUUCGUUCGCCCGACUGGGUACGCGCGGGGGCAUGGUCGUUCGCUUCAUGUCGGGCUAUGAAGUAUUGUACGUGCGGGAUCAACCGCCGUCGGGGGCUGCUGAAUUUCAAAGACUUCUUGUAGCGGCCGACAUGCCUCCAAUGCUGGCCUGCUGGGCUCCAGCCACCGAAUGCUCCUCCUGCCUUUGGACCACGCGGUCGACGCUGUGUCGCCCCGCGGUGCCUCUUUCAAGCAGGACAUGGCCUCUGUCGAAGGGGCCAUUGGGCGAAGGUGCAUUUGUGCAAUCUGUAAUCGAGGGAGAAGACGAGCUAAGCGGAGAGACCUAUGUGGAGCGGUGGCGACCUUAGGUACGUGUGAUGUGUGAGUCACCAUGAUAUUGGGGGUAUUUAUAUAGCUGAACGAAGAGAAUUGGAGCUAGCUGUGCUGGAACGGGCUUGCCGGCGCUUUAUCGGCACCUCUUGGGGUUGACGUGUGGCCGUCGGAGACGCGCGUGUGGUGGGUCGUUCCGUAGUUGAGUUCUUUCGCAUUUCUCGUAUCGUUUUUCGUGGAUUAGCAUCUCGAGAUCAAAUUGGAUUGGAUGAAUCGGUAAUCUUUCUCUGACCUCUUCAGUUGUGCAGGCACAAAUAUGAACUGGUCUAAGUUUGUUUUUAUAUAAUUUUAUAUUACUUUCGAUUUGUAUAUUUGUAUUCCUUUGUCGCCACAAACAUAAGAUCCCUAUGGUCCUACUCAAGGUAGACUAUCGCAAGCCGGCGGCUACUCUGGGAUGGAUCGAGGUUUAGGCCAGGGGGCUUGUUGGGGCUUUUCUUCACUUCAGCACUUCCCCUCGCAGUGGAUUCCACUAGGUUCUUAACCUCUUCCAGAGGACGUGGACGCGGCAGGAAUAGAUCCAGGGGGAGGACGCGAAUAAAAAAGGCCGCAAUUCUCUUCUCGUUCGCAUGAGCAAAAUUCAGAGAACUAGUUAUUGGCGUGCAUUGAAGCCACCGGUAGAAACACACCAACAUGACGUGCGGUGGCGGAUCUAGAAAUAAAAUGGAGGGUGUGCAUACUUUAAAAAAAUUGAAGUCUAUUUCAAUUCGCUUGCAUAGGCCUUAAAAAUAAGCUAAUUUUUACAUGAUGAAAAAUGUUUUUCAAAAAUCUGAGUGUGCCAUGGCACACCUGGCACACCCCCUGGGUACGACAGUGAUGACGUGCAGGAAACACGAUGGGACAAUGUGUGCACGCACAUUUUUUAUCAACCAGUUGCGGUAGAGCCAUUCCCAAGGUGCUUGUUCGGCUAUGAGACACCCAUUCCCGAUGAGAAGUACCAUAUAUACCCCAGCAAACCGGUGAGGUUGAUCAACAUGCGCAUGUGCUACUCCCACUUGUAAUGGCAAUCGUCCCAGCGCCCACCUACCUUGUGCCGGAGCCUGCGUCAUCCAGCACCGUCGUGCUAGAGCCUGCCCUCAUCACCCUACAGCCUGCGCCCGGCCCCGUCGUGCCAGAGCACGUGCCGCCCACCCCCAUUGCCCUAGGGACUGUUCCUGAGCCAUGACUCUUCGGGUUUGAGUUGGAGGUCGACGACCCUCCAUCUCUGGAUGAUGGAGUUGAGGAACUCCGGGGCCGGUAUGAUGCCUGCCUGGAUGAGUUGGCAGAGUUGGCUGACGCCCCCCUCGUGACAUUAACUGUGUAGAAUAUGAGGCCUGCGCAAUUGUUGGGCCCGACCAUUCCCCAUUGCACACCAUUUCAUUGCAGUAGUCGACAUUGUCGCUACCCCGAAGCCCCCAUGGUGUAGUAAAUCGAAGCAGUGGACGUGGCAGUUGACCGCAUGGAUGUCGCACGCGCGUUCUUAGCUAGCGUUGAAGCAGAAGGCGAUGCCUAGCACUAUGUAGUUCUAUCACAUUUUACCUAUGUAAAUAACGUUUUAAUAUUUUGUUAAUUAAGAACCUAUGAACAUAUGUUCCUUUAUUAUUUACUGUCUUUAUGUAUGUUUUGAAUAUUUCAUGCUACGGGUAGAGGUCAAUGUGCAGCCUGAAAAACUUUCUACUAUUGAAAUCGUGUGAACAUCAUCACACACGACUUCUUAGAUGUAACUUUUUGUGAUGAUAAAUAUAUCUCACACGGUCUAUUGUAAAUUGCACAUGGUACAUUCAAAAGUUUUUGUGAGAUGGUUCACGUCAUCACGUAUAAUUGUUUCAAUAUAACCGUGUGUUGUGUAGCACACACGGUUCAUUUAGCCAAAAUAUAUGUGAUGGUUUAGUUCACCGCACGCGCCCAUCUAUAAAACUGUAUACAUUAAUUGCACAGAGUUUUCUUUCCACAACCAUGUGUGAUAGUUCAGUUUAUCGCACACGCUUCUUUCAAUUGAACUUUGUGCAUGGAAUUGUACAGUUUUCUUCCCCCAAUCAUGCGAGAUGUGCUGGCGAGUGCACACGAUUUAUUUCCAAGGACACAUUUUAAUUUUUGCACCGUUCUUAAUGUCAUAAUCACACACAGUUUAUCGUUUGGGUGUGCGAUAAGGAGGCCUUAACAGAACCGCUCUGCACUAGUGUAGUGCAUUCCAUCAUGUGGCGGGAGUAGGUCUUUAUAUUUUGGGCUGUACACUUUAGGGGUUAUCACAUAAACCUUAAACUCUUUUCCCAUCUUAUAAUCCAUGAACAAGGCAAAUCUUUUGCCUUUUUUAGAAAAAAAAAACAAAUGUAAGUAUACUUUACGAACUACUCGUAUAUUUUUUUCCCGUUACAUCUACAACACCAAAAACUCAAUAUUUGCUGUCCAGGCCUUGUUUGCGUUUUGUUCGUUGAUGGCUCAUUACAAUCCCCUCAGUAUGGCGUGUGCAACGAACCUAUUUGCAGCCUCCGUGUAAUGGAUCCCAUCCCACGAAACGGAUUCCGACGGAUCGGCGCACGCGAUCGCCGCCGGAGUGCCGCAGAAGAAGGUGAAGUUGAAGUUGUACGGCCCGCCGCCGCCGCCGCAGCACGCUGCCAAGGGCAUGUCGCCGAAGCCUGCCACAGAUACACACGCGAUGCGCGCCAAGAAAAACCAUACAUUUGUUAGAACCGAAACCGAUGGCAUGCGGAUCAACUGGAGAGAGGAAAGGCUGUGACAUGCAGCACCGUAUUUUCUGGGCGAGGAGACGACUGCGGCGAUGAGGCGGUACAGAUCGGCGUAGUGGAUGGCCGCGCCGGGGUGGUCUCGCCGGAGCUGGCAGAGCAUGCGCUUCAGCGCGCGGUUGUGCAGCUGGGCGAGCUGGUUGAACCGCGCGAUGCAGCCGGACGCCCGGUCGUAGUAGUCGCCCGCGCCGCCGGGUAGGAGGGCGAGCAGCUCCGGCUCGCACCCCAUCGGUAUCAUCCCCGCCACCACCAUCGUCCGCGCUCCAACACCGAUCGCGUCCUGCAUCGUGGAACGAGACAAAUACGGUAAAAUUGAAGUAGUUAGCUAGGGUGGGUGUGGUCAGCUGAGUUGACCGGCCAGAGUACUCUACUCACGGUCAGGACUGAACGGAUGGCACCGACGAUGUGCGGCACCAGACUCUGCGCCAGGCCCACGGUGCCGUUGCCGAAGACGGCGACGAAAGAGUAGUCGUUGAAUCCGAUCUCGCCCAGGUACAGGAGGGAGCUCGCCAUGAUCUUGCGCUGCCCUGUAAUAUACAGCCCUCCCCUAAUCAGCAACGAAGUUUUUGAGGACUCGUUGCGAAAGGUGAACUCGCCAUGGACCUUAUUAAAAUGUGAAAUGGCGGAUCUCAUGAAUCAAGAAUCGUGAUACAUACCGUUGCCUGUGGAGUCGAGAAGCUGCAAAACACCGUUGAACCAGCUCGUCUGGUUGCUGAGAGAGACCGGCACGAACGAUGUGAUCCCUCUGCUCUGCAGGAACGCCGGGUCAAGCGCCGUCGCGCCGCCCACCGCGAAGUUGGCGCCGUGCAGGAAGUCGACCGCGGUCUUGCCGGCGAGGUACGGAGUUGGCGGCGGCAACCCCAGAGACUCCACUGCAUCCCCACAACACAUAAUUGUGAGCUUGUAUCAUCACAGUAGUGCAGGUCAACGCAUGAUCCGAUCGGUGAUUAAAGGAUCUUUACCGAUGAAGUCGAUGACGAGGCGGCCGUCGGAGGCCCUGCCGUUGGGCCGGCCAAAGUGGGUCUGCCCGUACGGCGGGUUGGUGAAGGGUCCCCCGGCGGUGACCGGGAGGAUGGCCGAGUUGCCGGUGUCGGUGAGCGAGUCGCCGAAGCUGAAGACGCGGUCGUAGCGCGCCUGGCCGUGGCCAGCGCCGCCGGCGUCCGCCUCGCCGGUGACGGCGACGAGGAGAAGGGCCACCAGAAGGAGACGAGGAAGUAGCGCCAUUGGGAGCUACGUAGCGUGCGAUCCGAUGCUGCUUCCGCGCGGGUGUGCCGACUCGAUGUUUUGACUCUUGUGAUUGCCCGAUGGCGAUGCCUGCUCGUUGAUUAGUUCGAGUAUCAGUUCCACUGGCCUCUGUUAGUUUUUAAUUGCCGAAGUCAGCUCCAGCAUGGUGAUGAUGCGACGAGCGUAGCAAGAGGUCAGAAAUGGCGGGUUCUCGUAGGCCAAAGAGCAAACAUAACAUGCGCAUAUGCUCUGCCUCCAACUUCUGCAGAUCUAGGAAUUACAGAAACCCACCACGUCGAGGGACGGGUUUGCCGAAAGAAUGGUUCUAUGAUUUGUUUUUCUUUACAAAAAAUACAAUGUCUAUGAUAAGUUUUUUUUACGUAAACCUUUGAUCGACGAACAAGAGCGCUUUAAACACGUUUAUGACAGAUGGGUCUCCCUCCAGAGGAGCUGGCUUAGCUGGAAAAAAAGGCCACAUGGACAUUUUGACUGGUCUUUUCUGGCCAAACCCCGAGCCUAGCCUAGCCCACUCUAUGAAAAUGCAUGAUCACCUCCCAUCUCCCUUGCCGGCGACCAUCACCUCCAUCUUCUGCCGUCGGUGUCGUGCCAUGGCCCCACUCCACCUUCCUCCGCGCCGACGUGCCCCGCCUUCUUCCACCGCCCCGGUUCUGGUCGACGGAUCCGAGCAUCCACAAGCCAGCCGUCAUGUGGUGCCGCCGACCCUGUCCUCUUCUCUGCCUCACUAUGACGAUCAGCAGCAGAGCCUGCAGCAUUGANNNNNNNNNNNNNNNNNNNNNNNNNNNNNNNNNNNNNNNNNNNNNNNNNNNNNNNNNNNNNNNNNNNNNNNNNNNNNNNNNNNNNNNNNNNNNNNNNNNNNNNNNNNNNNNNNNNNNNNNNNNNNNNNNNNNNNNNNNNNNNNNNNNNNNNNNNNNNNNNNNNNNNNNNNNNNNNNNNNNNNNNNNNNNNNNNNNNNNNNNNNNNNNNNNNNNNNNNNNNNNNNNNNNNNNNNNNNNNGGCAGCGCUCGUAGAGGAAUCGCGGGUGGCGCAGGUGCCUCACCGCCGCUAUGUUGUUCACAAUGGGGAGCAACCGUUGUUAGCGCCAUCGGUGUGGAGGCGCUCACAGAGGAAGCGCAGGUGGCACAAGGAGCUCCUGGGGAUGUGCCUCGGGCGGCCCUUCUUUCCCUGCUAGAGGGGAGGCGCGGCGAUGGGGCACCUCCACAAGGUGUCCAUAGCGUGGCGGUACUUUCCAAACACAAAUUAGGGAGGGAAGUUGAGGGUAGGGAUGGUGGAGGCGGCGGUGGGGGAGAUGGGCACUGGCUGCGGCAGAGACCGACACAGAAGGAGUCGAGGGCGACGGGCGAGAGGAAGAAGAGAGAGUGGGUUGUGCUAGGGUUUUGGCUACAGAAGACCAAUCAAAUUGCCCAUGUGGCAUUUUUCUACCAAGUCAGCUUCUGAUGAGCGGGACCCAUAUAUCAUAAAUGUGCUCAAAGUGAUCUAACUCACUGAUUCAUGGUUUACGCAAAAAAAAUACUAUAGAUAUUGUGUUUUUUUCACACACAAAAUCAUAGGACCGUUAUUUCUGCAAACUCGCCCCUCAAUAUGGUGGGUUCUUGCAAUUAACUCAGGAGCCAAGGGAUUCAGUCUUGACCUUGUGCCUUUUUUAUGUAAAGGGUAUUUUUGUUUAAGGCCAGCGCUAGGCACGACUGUGGAUAGGAAAUUAUCAGCAACCUUCGCGUGACCUUAUAGUGCAUAACCAUUUCCUUGCCACAUCCCUCGCAGCAUAUCACCCCCUAAUCGCAUUGACUAUCACCUCACAACACGCUCGUCGGAUCCUCCAUCCAGCCGCCACAGCAUUGCCAAGGCUGUCGGAACAUCGCCUCACAGCAACAACUUCAUCCCUUCCCUCGCAGCAUCGCCGGUGGCCGUUGCAACAUCGCAUCGACACAUUGCCUCCCCGCGUCGUGGGUGGCCGUCGCAGCAGCAACUCUGGCACUCCUUCGCAGCAUCACCAGCCGCGCCGUGGCAUCGCCUUGCAACAUCACCUCGCAGCAUCCCAAAAACCGUCACGGCAUUGCCUCGUGGCAUCUCUGGUGGCCGUCACAACAGUAGCAUGCAUCCUGACGACUAUCACAGCAUCGCCUCCAACAUCUCCGACAGUAGCAGCUCCAAUGCUCUCUCUCAGCAUCACUGCAUACACGUCACAGCAUCACCUAGUGGCUUCGCGGCAGAGGUGUCAGUCGCCCCUUCGCAUGUCAGUCGGCAGCCUUCUCCAGCAGCGGCGGUGUAGUGUCCCUGCAGCAAAAACGAUGGCGGUGGCGCACGACCACAUCAUCCCUUGCAGCGAGCAGCAUGAUGGGGUGCGCGGUGCUUGGUUCAUGUUGGCGACAACAUGUGUAUAGCAGCGCCCCAUGCAGGUCGAGAAUGAGUAGGAAAAUGAGGGACAAAAUACAAGAGAAUGGGAAUGGGGUUGCCCUAGGUAUUUCUAGGACACAUUGUAUGUGGGGUCCAUAGGGGACGCGUGAUAGCCAAGGGAGGCGAGCGAUGCGAGCGACAAAAUCAACCGGCUGAAAGGAAGUGGUUUCCUUUUUAUUGAAUAAUAAUGUUGUAUCAAGGAUAUAUGAAUAUAACAGAGUAUAUACCCGACCCCUGCUUAAAUAAGAUGUACAACCAAAAAUGCACAAACUUAGGCAACACGUCAACAAAGGGUACAAUCACACAAAAACAAAGCAAUUCCUAACGAGGAGAGGGGAAAGGCAUGUAUGAAGACUAUGCUGCCACCCAUAAGGGGUUAAAACAUUCUUGGACACCUGCUCCAAACACAUACACAUUGUUGUAAACAAAUGUCGGUGUUCGUAUCAUUGUAGAAUAGACCACGAACGAAGCUAGUGUGUAUACCGAUAGAUAAUCUUGCAAUGGAGAUGAAUUUGUAUAAUUAAAAAUCAUAUCAAUACUACAUUGUCAUAAUGGCCAAAUCUACGUUUAUGCUCUCACCCUUAUGAACACGCUAAACUUGCAUGGUAUACCAUGAAGCCAGUGACCAAGCACAUUCCCUACAGUGCGUGUGAAAGAUCGUGGAUGUCGCCUAGAGAAGGGGGUGAAUAGACGCUUUAAAAUAAUUAUAGUUUAGGCUUGAACAAAUGCGGAAUAAACCUAGCGGUUAUUUUGUCAAGCACAAAACCUACAACAACUAGGCUCACAUAUGUGCACCAACAACUUAUGUAAGUAAGAUAAACAACUAAGUGAUAGCAAGAUAUAUAACAUGAAAAAUUAUGGCUAUCACAAAGUAAAGUGCAUAAGUAAAUGGCUCGGGUAAGAGAUAACAACCAAGGCACGCGGAGACGGCGAGGUAUUCCGAAGUUCACACCCUUGCAGAUGCUAAUCUCCGUUUGGAGCGGUGUGGAGGCACAAUGCUCCCCAAGAAGCCACUAGGGCCACCGUGAUCUCCUCACGCCCUCACACAAUGCAAGAUGCCGUGAUUCCACUAAGGGACCCUUGAGGGCGGUCACCGAACCCGUACAAAUGGCAACCCUUGGGGACGGUCAUUGAACCCGUACACUUUGGCAACCCUUGGGGGCGGUCACCGGUACCCGUCAAAUUGCUCGGGGCGAUCUGCGCAACCUAAUUGGAGACCCCAAUGCUUGCCCGGAGCUUUCCACCACAAUGAUUGAGCUUCGAGGCACCACCAACCGUCUAGGACACCCAAGCACCCAGGAGGAAUAAGCUCUAGAGUACCAAGCAUCCAAGAGUAAUAAGCUUCUCAACUUUUCACUUCCACGUAUCACCAUGGAGAACUCAAACCGAUACAACUAAUGCAGUGGCAAGCUAUGGAGGAAAAAGAGAGGAAGAACAAGAAGGAGAACACCAAGAACUCCAAGAUCUAGAUCCAAGGGGUUCCCCUCACAAAGAGGAGAAAGUGAUUGCUGGAAAUGUGGAUCUAGAUCUCCUCUCUCUUUUCCCCCAAAAACUAGCAAGAAUCGAUGGAGGGAUUGAGAGAUAGAAAGCUCGAAGAAGGUCAACAAUGGGGAAAGAACACAUGAUCAAAGGAUAAGGUUCAAUGGGGAAGAAGAUCCCCUUUUAUAGGCACUCCCGAAUCCAACCGUUAUGUGUUCAGCCCGCAUACAAGCGGUACUACCGCUCAGAGGAGCGGUAGUGCACGUAGUGCGGUGCAACAAUGCAAGACCACAAGCCGGUAGUGCCACCGGAGCGGUACUACCGCUGGGGUCGCAGCACAGGGCACUAAGGAGGCAGAGCAAAACAGGGGGCGAGGCAGAGCCGCAUCAGCGGCACUACGGCUGGAGCCAGCGGCACUACCGCUGGAGCCAGCGGUACUACCGCCUACACGCGGUAGUGCUGUCCACCACAGCCGCUCUACUACCGCUGAGAACACGCAGCAUCCAGAAAGGGAAGCGGAAGUGCAGGGGCGGUACUACCGCUUGAAAGCGGUAUACCGCUCGUGCUACCGUCCCACUGCCGUGCAAGCUGACACGAAAAAUCGCAACCCCAAAAGCAGCGGUACCACGCACGGCACUGCCGCCCAUAAGCGGUACUACCGCUCAGCUAAGCGGUACUACCGCUUGGGGUGCUACAAUGAAGCCCAAGCAAACAGAUGGAAACAAUAAAACCUGAACUGCCAUAACUUCUACAUAUGAGCUCUGAAUUGAGCAAACUCAAGCUUGUUGGAUAGAGGGCGACAAGAACUAUCCAACAGCGAUGAUCUAAGGCUUCAAAUCUCUAUGAAUGAAGAACCGGCGAAAACUCCAACGUCGAAAACAUCAUAGAAGAUGCACAAAUGAACUCCAUUUUCGAUGAAUUCGAGCUUGUCAUGAAGAUGACCAUAAGCUCCAAAUCUCACAAGGAGAAACACCAAACAAGAACCAAGAAAAAUGAUGCAAGGAUGCAAUGGUUUAAGCUCUCUACGAACGAUACGAUCAAGCUACCAACUGAGAGCCCCCCUUGAUAGUACGGCAAUCGAUCCUAUAACCCGGUCUCCCAACUACCACCAUGAGACCGGUAAAAUAUAAAAACUAUCAAGGGAAAACCUUUGCCUUGCACAAAGUCCACUCGAGAUAGAUGAUGUAGAUCUUGACUUCCUCAAGUUGGACCACAUUUCUUGAUUGUGUUGGCUCGAUGAAGACUAGUUGAUAGCUCUCCCAUACUCCACUAUGGGUGAGCCACUCUUCGGCACAUCUUCACAAGUCCAUUGUCACUACAAUGGACGGCACGCUUCAAGCACUUGAUCUCUUCAUGAUGCACCACUUGAACUUGCACACCGCAAUCUUGAUGACGAUCACCACUUGAUGUCAUCCUCUGUGGGUUGUAUGAAAUCUUUCUCUUGACGCAAGCCCAUGGAAACAUACCUAACCCCACAAACACUCUCACAUAGACCAUGAGUUAGUACAUAAAGCGUGAUGGACAAUGCUUACCAUACCAUGGGAUCACUUGAUCCAUCUCGGUACAUCUUGUACGCUUUGUGUGUUGAUCAAGUUGAAUCACUCUUUGUACUUAGUCUUGAUCAACCUUGUAUCAUGUCUUCUACAUGACCAUCUUUGGAUAAUUCCUUGAAUAGCACUUUGGUCAUCACAUAAACUCCUUGAAACCUACACAUGGACUUCAAGAAAAUCCUAUGGACCAACUCUUCAAAUAUAACUCGAGCCAACCAUUAGUCCAUAGAGAUUGCCAUCAAUUACCAAAACCAAACAUGGGGGCACCGCAUAUUCUUUCAGCGUGGCAGAUAGAAGUUAGACACAACUUGGAUGACCGACUAUGUAGCGCGCAAAGCUGCAUUGCAAGAAAAUAUAUUACGUGCGGCACAAGAACAUAAUGAAAACCACUUCCCCUUGACACAUUGUAACGAGUGGUCACCUAAGGAGGGGGUGUUGAAUGUGGAAGAAGACCGAAGGAACCGCCAGCAUCUAAAGAAAGCGGUGAUUCUGAUGGUGACCUAUUUACCGUAUCAAACGAGUAAUCCGAUGAAGCCUGGAUUUUGGAUACACUAAGCUCUUAUCAUGUCACACCUAACAAAAGUGUGCUUAACUUCCUGCAAGUUUGGUGAUCUUAGAUAUGUCUAUCAAGACGACGAUGUGCCAUGGUGCAUUGGAGAUAUCAAGAUCGAGAUUGAAUACGGUGUUGACAUGUGCUCAAUGAUGUUAGAGAUGUGUGGAAGGCUCGGAGGGAUCUAAGUUCAAUCGACGAACUCCAUCGAAAUGGUUAUGUCCAAAGGUGGACAGGGACAAGAAGACCAUGAGGAUCAAGAAGGACAAGAAGCUUGUGGAUGGGAAAGAGGACCAAGAACAACCUGUACAAGGUGCGAGCAACCAUCGUUGAGAGUUGAGGAGAAGCCAGGUGUGGUGAUAUAUUAUCAAUCAAGAGCUUGGCAACCGGCUCAUGCGAGUGAGCAAACAAGAGAAGACCCGAGUCUAACCAUGCAUGUGUUUUCAAGCAAAAUGGUGAUUUCAAGAUGGCAAAGGACGCUAUGGUGAAGUUUGUUGAAUGAGUGUAUAGAUCUAUAAGACUUGGUGUAUGCGGAGAGUUAAGUGUUUGAGUCAAAUACGUGUAGUCCAUAAGACGUUGUGGGGUAGGCAAAAUGGCUAGACGAAGAUGGUAGACUAGAUACAAGAUCUAGAAGGAACCAUAGUAGGAUGGUCGAGAUGCACCUGGUCUUAGCGGGGCUUUGGUUGAUCCCUACUAUGACAAUUUAGUACAUGAAAGUAGCGUUAAUAGUCAUGUCUCGGGACAAACAAUGUUCAAUGAACCUUAGUAAUAAGUAAGUACUUCCUUCGUCUCAAAAUAAAUGUCUCAACUUUGUACUCCUUCCAUUCCACAAUGUAGUGCGCCCGCGCUUUCCGAGGUCGAACUUUGACCAUAAAUUUAACGAACGAGACCGACUGCGGCGGGAGAAAAAGUUACAUAAUUAAAAACUUCUUUCGAAUACGAAUUCAUUGAUAUAACUUUUGCUCCCGCCGCAAUCGGUCUCGUUCGUUAAAUUUAUGGUCAAAGUUCGACCUCGGGAAGCGCGGACGCACUAUAUUUUGGAAUGGAGGGAGUACUAAUUUUAAUAUAAAAUUAUACUAAGAUUAAGACACUUAUUUUAGAACGGAGAGAGCUCUCCAUCUAUUUUUGCAAUGAUUUGAUCACGUAAAUUCUAGGCCGAAGGACAGCGAAAGGAGACGGUCGCUGUUCAAUGCAUUCCCAUCGCAUACACCUCUUAGACACAUUAUGCUUAAUUAAUCUGUCUUUGGUGGCCAACAGUCAUUGACAAAUCUCUUCUUAGCUUUCCAAGAGAAGCGCGCGAAAAGAGCAUCAUGGAAGUAAUAUCCUACGAACCGAAUCCAGACAACGCGAAUGUUCAUCUCAUCGUGUCAUACCACCCAACUAUUCCCCCUUUCUUUCGCCUGCACAACAUACGCCUACGAGAAGGGAACCGGAUUCUCCUCCCUCCAAUCAGGCGGUGCAAAGAGCUAAUGGAAAUACGGCGCGAUGGAGAACCUCAUUCCUCGCCGGCCGGCCGGCCGACUUCAAGCGCUCAGGGUCAGAGUCAGACGAUGGCGCAGGCGUUGGGGUUCUCCUCGCUGAAGAUGGUGGUGAGGCGGUUGGCGUCGGUGGCCAUGCUGUAGAUGCCCUCGCGCACCGGCGUCGGGUAGCUGUACCGGUACUCCCCGGAGAAGUACUCGUGCCGCCUCGGCGUCGCCUCCCACCUCGGCAGCGGCGACGGCGUGUACCUCAGGUACCCCGGCGGCCCGCGGCCCUGCUGGCCGUGGUGGCCCGGCGCGCCGUUGCCCGGGUUGCUGCUCGGCGCGUGCUCCGGCUGCUGCUGCUGUUGCUCCUGGUGUUCUUCUUGCUGCUGCUGCGGUGGCGGUGGCUCGGGACCGAACCGGACGCGGCGCGGCGGCUUCUUCUUGCCUCGCUUCGGCUGCCUCGGCUGCUGCUCGGGCGGCGGCGCGCCUUGCUCCGGCGCGGGAGCGGGCUGCUCGGGCUGCGGCUGGGGCUCGUGCUGGGGCGGUGGCGCUUGGGGCUCUGGGUGUUGCUGCUGCUGUGGUGGCGGGUUUGGCGGGAUCAUGUGCACGGAGUUGGUGCCGCUGAAGGUGACGGUGCGCGCCACGGGCCGCAUGUAGAGCGUCUCUGGGUGUGGGCCGGGAGGGUAUGCCAUGGCGUAGUCCAUCCUCUGGUCCUCCAUCCAUCGUUCGCGCCCUGCAUAUGUCGCCGGAGCUCACAAACAUCAGCUAGCUGCUUUGUUUGUGUGACAAACGUUGGAGCUCUGAGACUACACAGUAUAUGAUCACGUGACAUGAGUUAAACAAUAAUGAAUACUACUCCUAGCAAAGCUCGGCUAUCAACUGAACAUAUUCCGGCAUGAGCUAUGGUACAGAAACUUACGCAAAGAAAAAACUAGUAGCAGAGGUAGAACUGAAUUGUAGCGACGGAAACCUAUCUUGAGAAAGACAAGAGGUCUCUAGCACUGGUGCAUAACGACACUCUGCCAGAAAGAACAGCGCAGAAGGAAGGUCAAAGCUGCCUCCUGCUUGAGAAUGGUUCGAAAGAAGAAAGGCAUCCGUGAACCAGGCGCGAGCUCUCUAGACCCAGGACUAUCUAUCAUCAAUCAUCAGAGAAAAAGCAGGAGAAAAGAAAACAAGGGGACGCAUCGUACCGUUGCAUUUCCCAAGCGCUUUGGAGACGAUCACGCGCAGGGGAUAGCAACCCAUCUCCUUCCUUCCCACCCUCCCUAUCUCGCACGGUGCUGGCCUUGCUGCUGCUGGCUCGCGUGUGCCCGUCGCGGCGCGGGUCUGGGCGCGGGAUACAUGCUAGCUCUCCUUCAGUUCGCGGCAACGAAAUGGAACUGAUGGACCAUUUAAAGAAGGAGAGACUGAGCAAUUGUUCGGUUGGUGCUAGUGCUACCGUGCAUGCUAGCGCUCGAAAGAAAGAAGGAAUCCAACAACAACAACGAGCGCCUACCUAAGCGCUUCUUUUCCUCUCGGCGGAAGGCAUCCACCGGAGUGGCACAGAACAGGAGGCAUCUAAAGGGACGGCCCUCGUUUUCGCGGAUAAUUGUUAGACCCGGAGCCGACUGGUAGUAGUAGUGGCGGAAUAUAUUCCUCCGGAGAUAUGCGCUCCAGAGGAGAGGAAAUUAGUAGAACGUACGCCCGGGCUUACAUAGAUAUAUGAUGCUAGAGGUGGGUGCCUGCGCAUGGUUUACAUUUGUCAACACGUCGCACAAAAGGGACACGAUGACUAUGAGGUUGUUUCGAUGCUUCGGCUGCUCUCUUCUGCCUGCUUGCGUGUUGAUUUGCCUGAAUUUACGCAGGUGUGAAUGGGAUUCCUACUUUCUCAAGACGGAUAGUGGCUUUGGUUUGGCUAUGCUCGAUGCUUUUGAGGAUUGGGUUUAGGAAUAUCGUGCUACGCAUCCAAAGUGCCCAUGCACUGUGUGACGAACACGACAUCGGUGGCACAAGGUCCAAAUCUCAAAGGGAAGCUUCGCAUACAGAAUAGCUUGGUCCAAACACUGAAUGACCGAGUAUCAGCUCCACCAUAUCCAAAAACUGCAAACUAAGUGCUCCACGGAUAAAAUAGUUUGAGACGAGAGCUAAAUCGCUAAAUGGUUUAUUGCUUCUACUACAGGAGAAUAACAAAUAUAUCCAAUAGGUACAGAAAGGACACACCUCGCAGUCCAAUUAUCCACAGGCAAUCCAUAUGUCAUCUAUGAACUACACUAUAUCCUCCUAGUGCCCACCCUGAUUCUAGCUCACCGGCAUCGACAAGCAUUUCAGAGUUCCUCACCUCUCCAUGCUUGGCCUUCCUAGACAAGGCCGAGGCCCGCUGAAAAUAUCACAACAAAGCAGAAUAAAUCAA
RNAcentral lists this long non-coding RNA (71161 nucleotides) under Triticum aestivum (bread wheat). RNAcentral's name for it is "long non-coding RNA (TAES_LNC013546)". The record is from RNAcentral. Lineage: Eukaryota; Viridiplantae; Streptophyta; Magnoliopsida; Poales; Poaceae.